UUCCAAACUUCUAUACUUUUGUGCAAUUUGUUGGAUCAUUUUAUAUACGCAUUGUCCUUGCUAUUCAGAAAAAUAUUUUUCCAGUUGAUAUACUGUAAUGUGUUUAUAACUAUUCUAGAUAGUAUCACUGGUGAGUUCUUUUGGGUUCACAUUUUAUUUCUUUUCUUUGACUAUGUGAAAUCAGAGAUUUAUGUUUUCAUAACGAUGGAGAUUCAUGGUGUUGGCCUUGAUUGGGUAAGAGUGAAGGCUAUGAGCUAUUCUGUAUCCUACAUGCUGCAAAUGAGUUUGGCUAUUAUGAAAUUUCUUGUUUAUAUGUUUGGCUUAUUUCUCUUUCUUUGUUUCGUUCUUUCUUUCUCUCUCUCACUAGUCACAUAACUGUACAACUCUGUUUGAGUUAAAAAUUUCUCCUUAACAACUAGUAGUUUCUUGUGGAAUAUAUUAUAUAUCGUCGAUUGUCAGAGCUGGUCAUCUAACAAUGGUCAUUACUUUGGAAGGUUUGGGAUUGUUUGCCACAACACCUAUUUACUGACACAUGCUGUUGGUGCUCUUCAUUUACUUUAGAAUGUGUCGGGGGAGACAGAAAGCUGGAAAAAAAGAAGUUGCUUUGAUUGAUGCAAAUUAAAUUAGUUGAACACAUGAUAGGUUUCAUUUCAGUUUAUUAUACAGAUGAGAAAAUAUUAGCCAUUAGGUGAGGAUUAAAUUGUAGGUUAUAUAUAUCUUGUCCCCUAGUUGUGUAUUUUGAAUAGUGUUAACCAUGUAAAUGGAGAUCAUGGUUCAUAGUUGUCUCCGUGUUAAUCCACUACCCUUUGACCAUUAUCUGGAAGAACAAAAUGCAAAUUGAGAAACUAAUCAAAUUGAUAACUAUCAUAGUGAAGUUUCAAGUUAUAUGCUAGAGUAUUUUUAUAAGUUGUUUCACCUCCUGAUAAAUAUCAUUUUGUUUUUCCAAUGUCAAAAUAAAGCAUUCUUGACAGACUAUACUUUCAUACUUUUCUUUUGAUUUUAUGCUUCUGAUGUUAAUAUACGCAAAAAAUUUUCUUGGUUGGUUUGCCUCCUUUCUUUUCAGUAUACAGAUGAAGAAGUUGAACGCUCUUAUGAAGAAUUUUAUGAGGAUGUUCAUACGGAGUUCCUGAAGUUUGGUGAAAUUGUCAAUUUCAAGGUUGUUAACUGUUUUCUGUAAAUGUACUUGCUGUCUUGGUGUUUCUCAAGUUUCUUUAUUUCUAUUACCCUUUUCUUUGGUUUUUCAAAUAUCGCAAUUUUGAGAUUAACAAAUAUGAUGAAUAUGAAGAAAACUAGCUGUUACCAUUUUCUUUGACAAUAAUGACAGAGCCACAAACAUUUUUUUACAGCUUAGUGUGUACCAACUGAAAUCUCGUUCUUUUAUAUCUGCUGUUGGGUGCUGGAUUUUUUCCUUAAAAGUAUUUAUUCAUGUGUAGAUUGUAGAAGUAGGAGUACCGGUAAAGCGUAAAUAAAUUUUUUAACCCAUACCAUUCGAACAUGAAUAAUCAGCUAAAAAAUUAAAUUAUUUGAAGACUGUUCAGCCAAUUAAGCCCCUAUGGCUCAGUCCUUCUCUUUCUUCUGCUACGGAUCCCUCUCGAAAGAGCAGGGUCGGAUUUUGAUUUGUGUAGUUUUUAGCAGUAGUUAUUGCACCAUAUUAUAAAGUGUGUUCUGCAAAUUGAAAUGGAAGCUUAAAAAAGACGAGGUGGAAGGCACGUACCUUGAAGGUUGUUAUUACCAAGAUUUAGAUGCAAGAGCUUACUCAAAUUCCCAAUCUUGGUAGGAAUUUUCCCACCAACAAUAUUGAACCUCAUCUCCAACGUCUCCAGCUUUGAUAAGUUGUAGAGAGAAUCCGGGAAGGGACCUCUGAAGCUGUUAUUACGAAGACUCAACAUUCGCAGUUUCGGUAAGCUGCCAAUCCAGGAUGGAAGGACUCCACUCAAUUGGUUGAAAUUGAAAUCAAUGAAUUUGAGCCUUCGUAAUUGCCUCAAUUCAUUAGGCAGAUGGCCAUGAAAAUUGUUACCACUAAAAUUAAGAGACACUAGAAAUGAAAUAUUUCCCAAGUGUGCCGAAAUGGGGCCUUCGAGACUAGAAUCUGAAAGAUCCAAUUUUGUGACUCUAUGAUGACGACUGUCACAAGAAAUGCCAACCCAACUGCAUACUGGAUGAGAAACUGACCAAUUAUGCGCCAGGACACCUCGAGGAUCAAUUACUUGCUCUUUGAAUGCAAGAAGAGCAUGUUGAUCCGUCGUUAUGUUUUUAACACUACUCGUAGGCAAAGCUAAGCUAGACACGAUGAAAUAGGGUAAGACCAACAUUAUUGGUGCAAAAUAUAAUAAGCUCAUAUCGAUCUUCAUGUAUAGAUUUAGACAACUUUUAGUGCUAAGCGAGUAAUAGCAAUAUAGCAUACUGCGCAUACAGAUACUUAUAUAGGUAGAGCAAAAAGAAAAUUAUACGGUGUUCCCAUGUUGCGUGAUCUACAAGCUAUUGAAUCAGACUUUACGGGAAGAUCGUUGAUUGGCCUUCUGGAAAAACUAAGCUAGUAUGAAACAAUGACAAUGUUUUCCCAAUUGUUAUUUUCUCUCUGGGGAAAAUAUUGGGUGGGUUUAGAGCGUCAAUUGCUCCGUUUCCAUGUGAACAUGCUAGAGCUGUUAAUUUUUUUUUUCCUUAGUGAUGAGGACUUUUUUAACGACGGCAUAUAUGGUAAACAAAGUCGUUAUAAAAUUAUUCCAUAAGAUUUUUAAGUUAGAUCUUUUCUUUCAACAAAAACUUUUAAAUUAGUCGCAUUUAAUUAUAUGUAUUAUUUAGAUGUACCAUUCCAAUUUAUUGUUUUCAAUACUAGUCAUGAAAAAUAUAAAAUAUUAAUAUGUAAAUUUUAUAUGAACCAUACUCUUUAAAAAUAUCUCAUCAACUUGUAAUAAAUGAUUUGUAAACUGAAUCACAAAGUUGUUAAUGCUGUCCAUAAAUAGAUAGUUUUCAAUUGUUAGUUAUUUUUAUAUAAUGGUAGAUAGUAUAUGGUGAAUGAUAUAAUAUAAAAUAGUAAAAUAGCAUGAAAUUUGUUACACACAAUGAAAAUUAGAUAAAUUUUAAAUUAUUAUUGAGAUUUGAGAAAAACGAUUGAUUGUCAUUGUUUUUGUUAAUCAAUACAAGGAUUGAUUGUCAAUCAACAUAAAAAUGGCUUUAGUCUUUGUCAAUCAAUCAUAUUCCCAGAUACCAUAUCAAUUGUAUCAUUUCCAUUUUUUUCAUUCAUUAAUUAUAUAUUUUUUAUUUUUGAAAGAAUUCAUUCAUUUUAGCUAUUGACCAUUUGUGCUUAUUAAAAUGAAUUUCAUUAGUUUAUGUUCUUCGUCAAUCGUAAGAUAAAAGCAUUAUAUAUGAAGAUUAUUUUGUUUAACUUUUCACUAUACAUAUAAUUUAUCAAAACCAACAGUAAUGCAUUACGAAAUUUAUAUCAAUCAAGCAAUGUAAUUAUAAUUUAGUGAAGCUUGAAUGAAUGAGGGAAUUAACGACUAAAAAAACGAGUAUAUGAUCAUCAAAGAGGGACAUAAUAAAUAAAUCUUACCUUUUAAAACAUUGGUAUUUCAUUUAAAAUUUAGCAGUACUUAGGGGCUGUUUUUUUUAUUUAAUAACUUAAUUGACUUAAUUUCAAUUGGUUAAGUCAUUAAGUCCCUUUUUUUUCAACUUAAUGAAAAAUUUUGGUCUUUAAGUCAUUAAGUUAUCUAGCCAAUUUUUUUUUUUACCUUUUUACUUAAUCUAAAAUGUCUAAAUGAUAUCAUUAGAAGAUAUUCUCCAAAAUAUCCCUAUCUAAUCAAUUAAUUUUCAUCCUUAACUAAAUAAAUUUUAAUAAUUAGCAUUAUUACUCAUUUGUAUAACUUGUGAUAAUAUAGUGGUAGAAUAUUAUUAUUUUUAUCUUUUUAUUUUCUUCAAAUUAACAUUAUUUAUCUUAAUAAUUUUUUUAUAAAUAUUUUUCAUAUAAAAAUGUCAUGAACUAUAAUAAAAUUGAUUAACAUAUACUAAUUUAGAAUAUAAAUGGUUGUAUUUAAUUAACUAUGAUUUAUAUUAUGAUAAUAUAUUAUUUUAUUUAAGUUCUUUGAGAUGUUUAUUAUUUAUUUAACAUUUAUAAUUUGUAAGGGUAUAAAUAUAAAAAUAUUAGUUUUUAGAUUUUAAAAUUAAAAAAAAACAACUUGAUAUUUGUUUUUAGCAAUUCAGACAAAAAAAAAAACAAACAUAUCAUUCAGAUUCAGAUAUUCAGUUCUAUUCUGAAUUUAAACUAAUUCAAGUAUAUUCAGAGUUCAAAUAAAAAAAACAAACGCCAUCUUAAUUUGAAUUUACUUACGUAUACAACCAUUCGGGAUCUCAUUUUUGUUGAUCACAAUUCGGGGAUGACUUUCAUGUCCCUGGACAAAUUAUUUCUAGACCAAACAUUAAUUCUUGGGAAAUAUGACUAGAAUGGAUGGGGACAUAACUGAAGAGGACUCCAAGGACCUUAACUUACUAGAAAGUAGAAACCAUUCAUUUCAAUUUUCAAUUUUCAAUUUUCUUCACGUCCUUGCAAAAUUCCUACAGUAAGAGAGAGUGUUAAACCAGUCACCAAUGAACCAUACUCUAAUUCUGUGUCAGAAUUGAGGUGAUACAACUUUUAAGUUGUAGCUGUUAUAGAAAUUACUAAAUCUUUUAGGUUAUUUUUGAAAAUAAAUCAAAAUUAUUUAUUUUUGAAUUCAUGUUACUAUCAAAGAUUUUUUCUUAAUAAAAUUAACCGUAAAACCGCAUGGGAUAACUCUAUGUGAAUACUUUUUAGUGAAUUUAUUUAAGGGUUUCAGAUUUCAGCAAACUCUAUUAGCUGCAGUUCGUCUUGUACGAAUAACUUUCUUUUUAAAGUAUGGAAUAAUCUACUUAAAGUAUUAUUUGCAUGAAUUACGUUCAUGCGAACAAUACUUAUAAAAAAUUAUUUGCAUGAAUUUUACCACAUAUGAAAAUAAUACUUGAAUAUAUGUGGUAUACAUAUAUUCAAUCUCUAAAAAUCCUGGGUAGCUCUUGUACUUGACUAGAGGAGUAUAUUUUUGAUAUUAACAUUGUGCGCUCAUCUACUCACGACUCAAUCUCCGCAUAAUGUUGCAAAUCAACUAUAUUUGCAAUCUCCUGAUUAAGGCCAUUCAGGAAUCAUGCCAUAAUAGCUUCUUUAUCUUCCUCCACAUUUACUCUAAUAAUGACAAUCUCCAUUUCUUUGUAAUAAUCCUCUGUACUUCAGCUAACUUGUGCAAGACUUUGUAAUUUUUGGUACAAAUCUGGAUAGUAGUGGUUAGGUACAGAACGCCUUCUCAUCAACGAUUCAUUUUAUCUUAUGUCUCAAUUGGACGUUUCCUAUUCUGUCUCCUGUAUAUAACAAGCAUAUCCUACCAAGUAAUAGCAUAGUCAGAAAACUCAAUCACGAUCAAUUUUACUUUUUUUUACAUCUGAAAAAUUAUGGCAAUCAAAUAUGAAUUCCAUUUUCUUCUCACAUUCAAUGUAUGCUUCCAAGUCAUAUUUACCUUGAAAAGAUGAAAUCUCAUCUUUAUGUCACUUAAUCUAUGAUCCCUAUUCCUAGCUCUGCUACCCCGUCCAUCUCUCCUAUAGCUACCCUCUGAGUGCUCCCCUUCAUCAUACUCAUCCUUAUAAUAGUCAUUGAUCUCUCCUCUAGCUAGAGCUCUAUCCCUCCUACGUGCUUGAGGAACGGGUUGUGAUUACCCCACACGUGUUCUCUACUUGAUCCAAACGCUUGCGUAUAUGCUCUAAUUUAGCCCUCAUCAUCCUUCUCAUAUGUCCCAUCAAUGCUUAAAUUUCCAAAAUCUGAGUAGUUGCGAAUUGAUCCUCUUUUUUUUUUUACAUGGUUCAGGGUUGUGAGACAUGGCUAACGUCUGCAAAAGAAAGUUAGAAAUAAUAUAGAAAGGACCUCACCUCACUUCCUUACGUGUUUCACUCAAGAAAAUGAUUCACUCAAUUUCACUCGUGUUUCACUCAAAUUUAUUGGCUUUUACCCUCUAAUAUGCUCACACUCUCUUGCCUUUUUCCACUCGUAGUAAUUCUUACUCGAUUCUUAUCAAAUUAAUCAAACUAAUAUCAAGAUUCUAAUAGCAAUUCACAAUGAUUAUACUAAGGAGACUCGAAUUUCAAGAGCAAGAAUGCAAUGUGUACGAAAGGUCGGGUUUCGAUUUCGGGCAAAAAUUUUCACCAUGUGUAAAACUAAUUUUGGACUCUACAAGACACUAAUAAAUGAAAAAUGAACAAAUGAUUUAAGCCGGACGUUGGGGAUUUUUUUUUUUUUUAGUAAAAAGAAUAGGUGAAAUUUGCGGAUUUAAGAAUAAUUAAACCACAAAGAUGCAAAUUGAUGAAAAAGAAACCCUAAAAAUAUUGUUCAUGCAAUACUGUUCACAUGGCACUGUUCAUGACUCUUUUUUUAUUUUCUUAAUACUAGAACAAGAAUGAAAAAUCUCAAAUAAGAAUUUAAAACAAAAAAGAAAGAUGAAUAUGAUCUUAGUGCCUAAGCUCUAAUACUAAAUUAUACGAACCUCGUCAAGAAUUGACGCGACCCUAAUCAAUUUAAUCCCUAAGAUCGGAUCUAAACUUGAAAUUGAAUGAGUACUUAAAACCACAUCCUUGGAAGGACUAACAAUCAAAGAAGCAAAACUGGUGAUUCAAAUUCAGAAAGCUCAACGCCAAAAGAGAGGGACAAUGAGUACUUAAAACAAGGAUUGCCUGCAGUGGAAGGCCUGAGCAAUGAGUUCACCAAUGUAAAGAAAGCAGUUAGGAUAGAACAUGACACAUUCAUCAAUACAUGCUCCUCACUUGCAUCCCGCAUAGUAGAAAUCCGGCAACUAGUAACACGUUGUGCUAGCAGUGAGAUAGGCAGCUUUUUAAAGGAAAUGAAAGGGUUUCUGGAGGAUUGUGAAGAAGAGCUUAAGCUAGUGAGAGAAAAGCAAAAUAGGACUAUGGAACUUGUUAAGCGGACAGCAGAGUACUACCAAGCAAGAGGCUCCAAAGAAAAAUGGGAGCACCCACUUCAACUGUUUGUUAUAGUAAAAGAAUUUCUGGGCAUGGUUGAUAGAGUUUGUGCUGACAUUAGUCGAAAUUUACAGAAGAAGAAUGGGACUAUUAGCAUAUACAGAUAAUAAAUUAAUUAUUCAUUUUCUAUUAUUAGGAAAAUUGUCAUAACAAAACCAAAACGAUCUAAGUGCCUGUUUGGUAUGGCUUAUUUAAUGGGUAUAAGUGCUUAUUUAUUCUCAUAAACUCUUAUCAUAAUUUUUGUUAUUGUUUGGUUGUUUUUUAGUAGAGUUUUUAUAGAUUAAAUAAGUUAUUUUAUCUCUAAUAGAAAAAACUCAAAUUUUGAGCUUUUGUGAGUAGGGGUUGAAUUUUUUUUAAAUGUUAAAAUAUUUAAAAUAUCGUCUACUUAUUUGACAAUCUUUUCUUAUUCUUUUUAUAACAUAACAUAACAAAACUUGCAUAUUAAAAUAUUUUCAUAAAUUUUUAAUAAAAACUCUUAUUGACAAAUAAACAGUUAAAAUUUCUUAGAUAAAAGCUCUUCUGCCAAAAUCUUUACUUAAAUAAGCUUUACUUGAAAAAUUGUACCAAACGAAACCUAAAUCUUAUAAAUUAACCUGCUAGGUGGGUCCUACAGUAAUUUGGGCCGAACUCUGGGUUAUCGCAAGGAUUCAGGCCCAACUCAAUCCAGAUCAGCUGCCUGUAACCGCGACGACUUGUAGCACAAGCCGCAAUGCAGUGAUUACGAAGGGAAUAGGAUCUACAGUUUCAGACAAACGUGUAUUGGUUACUGCAUUGUUCAUCUGCUAUAAGCUAUUAAAUAAAUAAUCUUAGAGCUGUUAUAAACUAUAAUAGUAGUUAGUUUUCCAUCCCAGGAGAUGUCUGAACCUUUUUCAGUCUUGGAUAAAAGAAAUAGAUUUACCCGACUAAUAUUGUUUUAUUUGAGAAAGGGGAGAGAAGAAACCAGAAGUGGUUGCAUCGUGGGCGGCUUGACUCCUGAGCGAGCUACGAGCUUGACCUGGAUCAAAGUGAAAGUCGAGUCAACGAUUGGGUAAUACCCAAAAAAGGUCAUUUCCUUACACAAUAAUUUCCAGGAACGCGUUCAAAACUUAAAACAAGAAACAUUCUAUCUCCUCCACGACUUAAAGAUAAAAAAGACAAUAACAAUAAAUCAAGCAAAGCUUCUAAACCGGGAAAUUUUCUCAACAAGUAGUAUAACAGUUGUAGAAACGAUGGCAAGUGAAAGACUUGGAGAGGUGAUAAGCAUGAAAGAAGAGGUGAUCAAGAAAGCAUGCUCGAUAGCCAUGAAGGCACACGAGUUGCCGGAGAAGCAGCUGUAUCUCGUGGAAAAGAAUGGGGGCUCAUCAGAUGUCAUUUUCGGCUUUCCAGGUUCUUGGUCUAUCAGUGAUUGGUUUAGUGGAAGCCCUUUUGGCGAAAAAAAGAUCGAUCCACAUCCACCUCAGUUCGCUUCUCUUCGAAGUAUAGGCAAUGAUCAAGUUGCAACCGUCAAUGAAGCUUUUCUUACUAGAUUUCAAGCAAUUCUGCCUCAGCUACAAAACGAGGUGUGUGAUCUCUUUAUUAAUUAAGUUUUUUUAAUUUUAGUUUUUUGGCCCCUGAAACAUCAAAAUGCAACAUGUACUGCUAGUUAGUAAGUAUUGGUGUUGCUUCCUCUUUCGCAAUCAUCAAGACUCCAAAAUAGCUGAUCGUGAUAAUAAAUAAACUAUACAAUUGAAUUCGAAUGAAACAAUAGAAAUGAAGCAAACUAAUGACAAACUGGAAUACAAAUAUAUAUAUAAAAUACUGGGUAGUUACUUCGAAUCAUUCUCAGGUGGGGAAAGCUGUGGCAGAGAGAAAGCAAAUAGUGUUUACAGGGCAUUCCUCAGCUGGUCCAAUUGCCGUUUUAAUGACAGUUUGGUUCCUGGAAAAUUUGGAAAAAUUCAUAAAGUCAGACCCCAGCACCAGCCGAAUGCCACCUAUAUGCGUCACUUUUGGAUCACCUCUUGUUGGUGAUUUCAUAUUUAACCACGCUUUGAGGCGAGAAAGUUGGUCUCACUACUUCAUUCAUUUCGUAAUGAGGUACGACAUCGUCCCUCGGGUUUUGCUAGCUCCUCUCUCUUCCCUUGAGCCAGAACUGAAAAUUAUCCUCCAUUUCUUGAACCCAAAACAUACAACUCCCAUGCCAGAACCAACUGAGGAAGCUUCAGCUCUCUAUGUGACGGUGAUGAGGAAUGCAUCAUCUGUGGCAUGCCAUGCAGCCUGUCAUCUCAUGGGAAACACAAACAAGUUGUCUGAUACUUUGUUGAGUUUCGUUGAGCUGAGCCCCUAUCGACCCUUUGGAACUUAUGUCUUCUGCACAGGAGAUAGGGAACUGGUAGUAGUGAAAAACCCUGAUACCGUUCUGCAGAUAUUGUUCUAUUCUUCUCAGUUGAGCUCUGAAGUAGAAGGUCCAGAGAUUGCUCUCAGAAGCGUAAAGGACCACCUUAAUUACCAAAGCGAUCUGCAGAACUUAGAGACAAAAGGUGUCGCUCAUUUAGACAAUUUGCAAGGGCUUCCAUUGUCUUCCAAUGUCGGUGCCGCUGGCCUUGGCCUGGUCCUGAAUAACCUUGGCCUGGUAAGUCCGUUUCAAGAUAGUUUCAAAAUUAGUCUUUCAGUUUUAAAAGUUCCCCUAUCAGUUUUUUUUUUUUUUUUUUGCCCCCUUGGACUGACAUUUUGAAUCUUCGGUUUCCAGAGCACCAGGGCCAGACUCUGCCUUUGUGCUGCCGGAGAAUUAGAGGAGCAAAAAUGGAGAAACCUGGAAAAGAUUAAUAAAAAGAAGAUAGAUAUAGAGAGAGGACUACUAGCACUUGAAGGGUACAAAACCAGGUGCGAGGCUGGCAGACUCAGCUAUUAUGAUGCAUUCAAGCUUUCAAAGGACACUGAUGAUUUCAAUGCAAAUGUUAAGAGGCUUGAGUUGGCUGGUAUAUUUGAUGAGAUUAAGGAAAUGUUGAAAAGGUAUGAACUUCCUGAUGAGUUUGAAGGCCAUAGAGAGUGGAUAGACAUCGGAACAAGGUACCGCCGCAUUGCUGAACCUGUAGAUAUUGCUAAUUACUAUCGACACCUAAAAAAUGAAGACACCGGUCCCUAUCUGAUAAAGGGCAGACCAAAACGAUACAGAUACACUCAGAGGUGGCUCGAGUAUGCCCUGAAGAUAUCGGCAGGAUCCAGCGGGGAAUCAUGUUUCUGGGCAGAGGUUGAGGAGCUCUGCCUCAGAACUAUUAAUAUGGGGCUGUUUGAAGAUGUCAAAGCACAUAUACUGUCCCUGGAGAAGCAGGUAGAUAAAUGGGUUCAGGAUAGGGAGUUAGGUGAUGAUAUAUUCUUUGAGGAUUCGACCUUCGUCAAGUGGUGGAAAACACUCCCUCAGCUACAUAGAUCAGGAUCAUGCAUUGCAAAAUUCAUCAAUAACUAAAAAAAUAAAUCUUAAAGCUAUCACCACUUGCGUCUAGAAGUGCAACUAUCAACCGUUGGUCCCUGCCCUGGCCGUGGAAGUUGUAUGAUCAGUUUACCUAAUAUCAUUAGUUUCUAUUUGUAACGUGUGCUUCAAUUAUAACUCAAGAGUGGAGACUCAUUUUGUAUUACGACCAAAUAAGUCAUUAGUGGAUUGUUGCCAAAUGUUAUUAACCAGUAGCAGCAUUAUUGUUGAAAUUAUACUGGCUGUCCACUGGUAAUGUAUCCAUUUCGGGAUGCCACUCCGCUACUGUUUGUUCAAGAAUUCUGUCAUCCUGAUACAAAAACAAGGAAAGAAAAAUAAGGGCUCUCAAGAAGCAAGCCAUUCUCAACGUGCUAAGAUACAAUGUAUCGAAUAAAAUCAUCACUGUGCAGUUAUACAGAUUCAAGUACAAACAGAAACGUCCACAGGAAAUAAAAUCAGCAAUUAUAGAAGAAAAUCAAAAUAACUGGCCUAGCCUCCAAUGACAUUAGGAAGCAUAUCACACUAUAUGUUACAGUCCAUUAGCUUUAUCCAACAGAACUUACAGGGUUUUUAGGUCAACAUAUAUACAUAUCUCCUCGCAAAUCUUUAUGGUUGAAGAAAUAUAACACAGCAGCAAGUCUCCUCUGAAGCUGUUAUAACGAAGACUCAACAUUCGUAGUUUCGGUAAGCUACCCAUCCAGGAUGGAAGGACUCCACUCAAUCGGUUGAAAUUGAAAUCAAUGAAUUUGAGCCUUCGUAAUUGCCUCAAUUCAUUAGGCAGAUGGCCAUGAAAAUUGUUACCACUAAUAUUAAGAGACACUAGAAAUGAAAUAUUUCCCAAGUGUGCCGAAAUGGGGCCUUCGAGACUAGAAUCUGAAAGAUCCAAUUUUGUGACUCUAUGAUGACGACUGUCACAAGAAAUGCCAACCCAACUGCAUACUGGAUGAGAAACUGACCAAUUAUGCGCCAGGACACCUCGAGGAUCAAUUACUUGCUCUUUGAAUGCAAGAAGAGCAUGUUGAUCCGUCGUUAUGUUUUUAACACUACUCGUAGGCAAAGCUAAGCUAGACACGAUGAAAUAGGGUAAGACCAACAUUAUUGGUGCAAAAUAUAAUAAGCUCAUAUCGAUCUUCAUGUAUAGAUUUAGACAACUUUUAGUGCUAAGCGAGUAAUAGCAAUACAGCAUACUGCGCAUACAGAUACUUAUAUAGGUAGAGCAAAAAGAAAAUUAUACGGUGUUCCCAUUGUUGAUGCGAGAUUCUGGUUGUCCUCGUUCUACGACCAGGGUCUCUGCUCGAUCAACUUCACCACGACCAGGAUCUCUCCUCGUAAAUCUUCUUCUCCAGAGGUUCCUGCGCACACAGUCAGGUCAGAGUACGCCGGUUGUUUUCCCGACGCAAACCCUCCGACGCUCAAGUCAGAAAUAGGGGUUCUGGGAAUGUUUGCCAGGAAUCUUAUGGCUUCUUUUUAAUCUCCGUUCUCGGAACUUUCUUUUCUUAGUUCUAAUAGCAAAAAGUCUAACCCUUUUACCUUCGUUGGCUACCUUUUUAUAGGCUUCCUCUGAAUCCCGGUCUUCCGUAGUCCACGCCCAUUAUUCUGCCCACCCUCGGAUGUGGAUGCCCCAAUGUCGUCAUUGUGGGCGAAUGGAGAUGGACUUCGUGCCUUGAUUCUCAGAUAGGAACGCACGUCCUGCCAACUGUCGUUGACUGGGUCUCCUCGCCUCGACCCCUAGCAGGAAUGGCCUUAUGCCUUUAACAGGAGUUCGUCCUCGUGAGUGGCAUAUUCGUGGACGAGCAGAAUAGCCCUGCUCCUGUUCCCCUGCUACCAGGCUCUUACAGGACACACCUGCUCGCAGGACUCUGCCACCAACUAUCUGCUCAUCACUUCUGGUCUCGCCGAAGUAUUUCCCUCAAACACCGGUCCCCCAGUUUCUGGUGUUGGGUAAUGUAAUGGACCAGCAGUAGAAACUCAGUGGUUCUUGGUCGCGUGGGACUGGAAAAGGCUGCCAAGGAAAAUGCCCAAGGGGUGGAGCCAAUCGUGAUUGAGGAGGAAAGCUCUCCUCCUCGUGCAAUCCAUGCUGAUGUUGGCGGGGCGAGCACCCCUGCUGUCGUUGCCGAGGCGAGCACCCCCCCGGACGCAACUGGUGAUACCCCCCCGCACCUGAGGAGGUUCAUCCAACCGAUGCUGCUCGGCUUACUGAUCCGCCAUCUUCUUGAACAUUUUUCUCGCGUUGUAAUGAACUACUUUGUUGGUUAUUAAUAGAUUAAUGAAAACUGUUUUUGAUUACUUUCUUGCGUUUGUAUUUAUAAGUUACUUUUCCAUUUGAAGGUCUGCUCGCCUUCUCUUGGUCGAGCAGGCUCUGGCUUAGAAUAUGGUCUUUCUGCAUGACUAGGGAUUCUGCUCGCCUUUGCUCGAUCGAGCAAAUCCUGGCACGCUUGGCUUCUGGUCUCGCCAUAAACAGGCUUUGAGACUUGACGAGCCUUUGCACGCCUUAGAAAUUUUUUCGAAUGCUUUGGAGUCUGCUCGCCUUCACGUGGUCGAGCAGAUCCUGGCAUGCUUGGCUUCUGUCUCGCCAUAAAACAGGCUUUGAGACUUGACGAGCCUUUGCAUGCCUCAGAAAUUUUUUCGAAUGCUUUGGAGUCUGCUCGCCUUCACGUGGUCGAGCAGAUCCUGGCAUGCUUGGUUUCUGUCUCGCCAUAAAGCAGGCUUUGAGACUUGACGAGCCUUUGCAUGCUUGAGGUAGAGCAAUAUAGCAUACUGCGCAUACAGAUACUUAUAUAGGUAGAGCAAAAAGAAAAUUAUACGGUGUUCCCAUGUUGCGUGAUCUACAAGCUAUUGAAUCAGACUUUACGGGAAGAUCGUUGAUUGGCCUUCUGGAAAAACUAAGCUAGUAUGAAACAAUGACAAUGUUUUCCCAAUUGUUAUUUUCUCUCUGGGGAAAAUAUUGGGUGGGUUUAGAGCGUCAAUUGCUCCGUUUCCAUGUGAACAUGCUAGAGCUGUUAAUUUUUUUUUUCCUUAGUGAUGAGGACUUUUUUAACGACGGCAUAUAUAGUAAACAAAGUCGUUAUAAAAUUAUUCCAUAAGAUCUUUAAGUUAGAUCUUUUCUUUCAACAAAGACUUUUAAAUUAGAUGCAUUUAAUUAUAUUUAUUAUUUAGAUGUACCAUUCCAAUUUGUUGUUUUCAACACUAGUCAUGAAAAAUGUAAAAUAUUAAUAUGUAAAUUUUAUAUUAACUAUACUCUUUAAAAAUAUCUCAUCAACUUAUAAUAAAUGAUUUCUAAAUUGAAUCACAAAGUUGCUAAUUCUGUCCAUAAAUAGCUAGUUUUUAAUUGUUAGUUAUUUUUAUAUAAUGGUAGAUAGUAAUAGUAUAUGGUGAAUGAUAUAAUGUAAAAUAGUAAAAUAGCAUGAAAUUUGUUAAAUCACACACAAUGAAAAUUAGAUAAAUUUUAAAUUAUUAUUGAGAUUUGAGAAAAACGAUUGAUUGUCAUUGUUUUUAUUAAUCAAUACAAGUAUUGAUUGUCAAUCAACAUAAAAAUGCCUUUAGUCUUUGUUCAUCAAUCAUAUUCCCAGAUACCAUAUCAAUUGUAUCAAUUGUAUCAUUUCCAUUUUUUUCAUUCAUUAAUUAUAUAUUUUUUAUUUUUGAAAGAAUUCAUUCAUUUUAGAUAUUGACCAUUUGUGCUUAUUAAAAUGAAUUUCAUUAGUUUAUGUUCUUCGUCAAUCGUAAGAUAAAAGCAUUAUAUAUGAAGAUUAUUUUGUUUAACUUUUCACUAUACAUAUAAUUUAUCAAAACCAACAGUAAUGCAUUACGAAAUUUAUAUCAAUCAAGCAAUGUAAUUAUAAUUUAGUGAAGCUUGAAUGAAUGAGGGAAUUAACGACUAAAAAAACGAGUAUAUGAUCAUCAAAGAGGGACAUAAUAAAUAAAUCUUACCUUUUAAAACAUUGGUAUUUCAUUUAAAAUUUAGCAGUACUUAGGGGCUGGUUUUUUUUUUAUUUAAUAACUUAAUUGACUUAAUUUCAAUUGGUUAAGUCAUUAAGUCCCUUUUUUUUCAACUUAAUGAAAAAUUUUGGUCUUUAAGUCAUUAAGUUAUCUAGCCAAUUUUUUUUUUUACCUUUUUACUUAAUCUAAAAUGUCUAAAUGAUAUCAUUAGAAGAUAUUCUCCAAAAUAUCCCUAUCUAAUCAAUUAAUUUUCAUCCUUAACUAAAUAAAUUUUAAUAAUUAGCAUUAUUACUCAUUUGUAUAACUUGUGAUAAUAUAGUGGUAGAAUAUUAUUAUUUUUAUCUUUUUAUUUUCUUCAAAUUAACAUUAUUUAUCUUAAUAAUUUUUUUAUAAAUAUUUUUCAUAUAAAAAUGUCAUGAACUAUAAUAAAAUUGAUUAACAUAUACUAAUUUAGAAUAUAAAUGGUUGUAUUUAAUUAACUAUGAUUUAUAUUAUGAUAAUAUAUUAUUUUAUUUAAGUUCUUUGAGAUGUUUAUUAUUUAUUUAACAUUUAUAAUUUGUAAGGGUAUAAAUAUAAAAAUAUUAGUUUUUAGAUUUUAAAAUUAAAAAAAAACAACUUGAUAUUUGUUUUUAGCAAUUCAGACAAAAAAAAAAACAAACAUAUCAUUCAGAUUCAGAUAUUCAGUUCUAUUCUGAAUUUAAACUAAUUCAAGUAUAUUCAGAGUUCAAAUAAAAAAAACAAACGCCAUCUUAAUUUGAAUUUACUUACGUAUACAACCAUUCGGGAUCUCAUUUUUGUUGAUCACAAUUCGGGGAUGACUUUCAUGUCCCUGGACAAAUUAUUUCUAGACCAAACAUUAAUUCUUGGGAAAUAUGACUAGAAUGGAUGGGGACAUAACUGAAGAGGACUCCAAGGACCUUAACUUACUAGAAAGUAGNNNNNNNNNNNNNNNNNNNNNNNNNNNNNNNNNNNNNNNNNNNNNNNNNNNNNNNNNNNNNNNNNNNNNNNNNNNNNNNNNNNNNNNNNNNNNNNNNNNNCGUUGUCAGAUUGAGGUGAUACAACUUUUAAGUUGUAGCUGUUAUAGAAAUUACUAAAUCUUUUAGGUUAUUUUUGAAAAUAAAUCAAAAUUAUUUAUUUUUGAAUUCAUGUUACUAUCAAAGAUUUUUUCUUAAUAAAAUUAACCGUAAAACCGCAUGGGAUAACUCUAUGUGAAUACUUUUUAGUGAAUUUAUUUAAGGGUUUCAGAUUUCAGCAAACUCUAUUAGCUGCAGUUCGUCUUGUACGAAUAACUUUCUUUUUAAAGUAUGGAAUAAUCUACUUAAAGUAUUAUUUGCAUGAAUUACGUUCAUGCGAACAAUACUUAUCAAAAAUUAUUUGCAUGAAUUUUACCACAUAUGAAAAUAAUACAUGAAUAUAUGUGGUAUACAUAUAUUCAAUCUCUAAAAAUCCUGGGUAGCUCUUGUACUUGACUAGAGGAGUAUAUUUUUUAUAUUAACAUUGUGCGCUCAUCUACUCACGACUCAAUCUCCGCAUAAUGUUGCAAAUCAACCAUAUUUGCAAUCUCCCGAUUAAGGCCAUUCAGGAAUCGUGCCAUAAUAGCUUCUUUAUCUUCCUCCACAUUUACUCUAAUAAUGACAAUCUCCAUUUCUUUGUAAUAAUCCUCUGUACUUCAGCUAACUUGUGCAAGACUUUGUAAUUUUUGGUGCAAAUCUGGAUAGUAGUGGUUAGGUACAGAACGCCUUCUCAUCAACGAUUUCAUUUUAUCUUAUGUCUCAAUUGGACGUUUCCUAUUCUGUCUCCUGUAUAUAACAAGCUUAUCCUACCAAGUAAUAGCAUAGUCAGAAAACUCAAUCACGAUCAAUUUUAUUUUUUUUACAUCUGAAAAAUUAUGGCAAUCAAAUAUGAAUUCCAUUUUCUUCUCACAUUCAAUGUAUGCUUCCAAGUCAUAUUUACCUUGAAAAGAUGAAAUCUCAUCUUUAUGUCACUUAAUCUAUGAUCCCUAUUCCUAGCUUUGCUACCCCGUCCAUCUCUCCUAUAGCUACCCUCUGAGUGCUCCCCUUCAUCAUACUCAUCCUUAUAAUAGUCAUUGAUCUCUCCUCUAGCCAGAGCUCUAUCCCUCCUACGUGCUUGAGGAACGGGUUGUGGUUACCCCACACGUGUUCUCUACUUGAUCCAAACGCUUGCGUAUAUGCUCUAAUUUAGCCCUCAUCAUCCUUCUCAUAUGUCCCAUCAAUGCUUAAAUUUCCAAAAUCUGAGUAGUUGCGAAUUGAUCCUCUUUUUUUUUUUACAUGGUUCAGGGUUGUGAGACAUGGCUAACGUCUGCAAAAGAAAGUUAGAAAUAAUAUAGAAAGGACCUCACCUCACUUCCUUACGUGUUUCACUCAAGAAAAUGAUUCACUCAAUUUCACUCGUGUUUCACUCAAAUUUAUUGGCUUUUACCCUCUAAUAUGCUCACACUCUCUUGCCUUUUUCCACUCGUAGUAAUUCUUACUCGAUUCUUAUCAAAUUAAUCAAACUAAUAUCAAGAUUCUAAUAGCAAUUCACAAUGAUUAUACUAAGGAGACUCGAAUUUCAAGAGCAAGAAUGCAAUGUGUACGAAAGGUCGGGUUUCGAUUUCGGGCAAAAAUUUUCACCAUGUGUAAAACUAAUUUUGGACUCUACAAGACACUAAUAAAUGAAAAAUGAACAAAUGAUUUAAGGCGGACGUUGGGGAUUUUUUUUUUUUUUUAGUAAAAUGAAUAGGUGAAAUUUGCGGAUUUAAGAAUAAUUAAACCACAAAGAUGCAAAUUGAUGAAAAAGAAACCCUAAAAAUAUUGUUCAUGCAAUACUGUUCACAUGGCACUGUUCAUGACUCUUUUUUUAUUUUCUUAAUACUAGAACAAGAAUGAAAAAUCUCAAAUAAGAAUUUAAAACAAAAAAGAAAGAUGAAUAUGAUCUUAGUGCCUAAGCUCUAAUACUAAAUUAUACGAACCUCGUCAAGAAUUGACGCGACCCUAAUCAAUUUAAUCCCUAAGAUCGGAUCUAAACUUGAAAUUGAAUGAGUACUUAAAACCACAUCCUUGGAAGGACUAACAAUCAAAGAAGCAAAACUGGUGAUUCAAAUUCAGAAAGCUCAACGCCAAAAGAGAGGGACAAUGAGUACUUAAAACAAGGAUUGCCUGCAGUGGGAGGCCUGAGCAAUGAGUUCACCAAUGUAAAGAAAGCAGUUAGGAUAGAACAUGACACAUUCAUCAAUACAUGCUCCUCACUUGCAUCCCGCGUAGUAGAAAUCCGGCAACUAGUAACACGUUGUGCUAGCAGUGAGAGAGGCGGCUUUUUAAAGGAAAUGAAAGGGUUUCUGGAGGAUUGUGAAGAAGAGCUUAAGUUGGUGAGAGAAAAGCAAAAUAGGACUAUGGAACUUGUUAAGCGGACAGCAGAGUACUACCAAGCAAGAGGUUCCAAAGAAAAAUGGGAGCACCCACUUCAACUGUUUGUUAUAGUAAAAGAAUUUCUGGGCAUGGUUGAUAGAGUUUGUGCUGACAUUAGUCGAAAUUUACAGAAGAAGAAUGGGACUAUUAGCAGAUACAGAUAAUAAAUCAAUUAUUCAUUUUCUAUUAUUAGGAAAAUUGUCAUAACAAAACCAAAACGAUCUAAGUGGCUGUUUGGUAUGGCUUAUUUAAUGGGUAUAAGUGCUUAUUUAUUCUCAUAAACUCUUAUCAUAAUUUUUGUUAUUGUUUGGUUGUUUUUUAGUAGAGUUUUUAUAGAUUAAAUAAGUUAUUUUGUCUCUAAUAGAAAAAACUCAAAUUUUGAGCUUUUGAGAGUAGAGGUUGAAUUUUUUUUAAAUGUUAAAAUAUUUAAAAUAUCGUCUACUUAUUUGACAAUCUUUUUUUAUUCUUUUUAUAACAUAACAUAACAAAACUUGCAUAUUAAAAUAUUUUCAUAAAUUUUUAAUAAAAGCUCUUGUUGACAAAUAAACAAUUAAAAUUUCUUAGAUAAAAGCUCUUCUACCAAAAUCUUUACUUAAAUAAGCUUUACUUGAAAAAUUGUACUAAACGAAGCCUAAAUCUUAUAAAUUAACCUGCUAGGUGGGUCCUACAGUAAUUUGGGCCGAACUCUGGGUUAUCGCAAGGAUUUAGGCCCAACUCAAUCCAGAUCAGCUGCCUGUAACCGCGACGACUUGUAGCACAAGCCGCAAUGCAGUGAUUACGAAGGGAAUAGGAUCUACAGUUGCAGAAAACGUUUAUUGCUUACUGCAUUGUUCAUCUGCUAUAAGCUAUUAAAUAAAUAAUCUUAGAGCUGUUAUAAAAUAUAAUAGUAGUUAGUUUUCCAUCCCAGGAGAUGUCUGAACCUUUUUCAGUCUUGGAUAAAAGAAUUAGAUUUACCCGACUAAUAUUGUUUUAUUUGAGAAAGGGGAGAGAAGAAACCAGAAGUGGUUGCAUCGUGGGCGGCUUGACUCCUGAGCGAGCUACGAGCUUGACCUGGAUCAAAGUGAAAGUCGAGUCAACGAUUGGGUAAUACCCAAAAAAGGUCAUUUCCUUACACAAUAAUUUCCAGGAACGCGUUCAAAACUUAAAACAAGAAACAUUCUAUCUCCUCCACGACUUAAAGAUAAAAAAGACAAUAACAAUAAAUCAAGCAAAGCUUCUAAACCGGGAAAUUUUCUCAACAAGUAGUAUAACAGUUGUAGAAACGAUGGCAAGUGAAAGACUUGGAGAGGUGAUAAGCAUGAAAGAAGAGGUGAUCAAGAAAGCAUGCUCGAUAGCAAAUAGUGUUUACAGGGCAUUCCUCAGCCGGUCCAAUUGCCGUUUUAAUGACAGUUUGGUUCCUGGAAAAUUUGGAAAAAUUCAUAAAGUCAGACCCCAGCACCAGCCGAAUGCCACCUAUAUGCGUCACUUUUGGAUCACCUCUUGUUGGUGAUUUCAUAUUUAACCACGCUUUGAGGCGAGAAAGUUGGUCUCACUACUUCAUUCAUUUCGUAAUGAGGUACGACAUCGUCCCUCGGGUUUUGCUAGCUCCUCUCUCUUCCAUUGAGCCAGAACUGAAAAUUAUCCUCCAUUUCUUGAACCCAAAACAUACAACUCCCAUGCCAGAACCAACUGAGGAAGCUUCAGCUCUCUAUGUGACGGUGAUGAGGAAUGCAUCAUCUGUGGCAAGCCAUGCGGCCUGUCAUCUCAUGGGAAACACAAACAAGUUGUCUGAUACUUUGUUGAGUUUCGUUGAGCUGAGCCCCUAUCGACCCUUUGGAACUUAUGUCUUCUGCACAGGAGAUAGGGAACUGGUAGUAGUGAAAAACCCUGAUACCGUUCUGCAGAUAUUGUUCUAUUCUUCUCAGUUGAGCUCUGAAGUAGAAGGUCCAGAGAUUGCUCUCAGAAGCGUAAAGGACCACCUUAAUUACCAAAGCGAUCUGCAGAACUUAGAGACAAAAGGUGUCGCUCAUUUAGACAAUUUGCAAGGGCUUCCAUUGUCUUCCAAUGUCGGUGCCGCUGGCCUUGGCCUGGUCCUGAAUAACCUUGGCCUGGUAAGUCCGUUUCAAGAUAGUUUCAAAAUUAGUCUUUCAGUUUUAAAAGUUCCCCUAUCAGUUUUUUUUUUUUUUUUUUGCCCCCUUGGACUGACAUUUUGAAUCUUCGGUUUCCAGAGCACCAGGGCCAGACCCUGCCUUUGUGCUGCUGGAGAAUUAGAGGAUCAAAAAUGGAGAAACCUGGAAAAGAUUAAUAAAAAGAAGAUAGAUAUAGAGAGAGGACUACUAGCACUUGAAGGGUACAAAACCAGGUGCGAGGCUGGCAGAGUCAGCUAUUAUGAUGCAUUCAAGCUUUCAAAGGACACUGAUGAUUUCAAUGCAAAUGUUAAGAGGCUUGAGUUGGCUGGUAUAUUUGAUGAGAUUAAGGAAAUGUUGAAAAGGUAUGAACUUCCUGAUGAGUUUGAAGGCCAUAGAGAGUGGAUAGACAUCGGAACAAGGUACCGCCGCAUUGCUGAACCUCUAGAUAUUGCUAAUUACUAUCGACACCUAAAAAAUGAAGACACAGGUCCCUAUCUGAUAAAGGGCAGACCAAAACGAUACAGAUACACUCAGAGGUGGCUCGAAUAUGCCCUGAAGAUAUCGGCAGGAUCCAGCGGGGAAUCAUGUUUCUGGGCAGAGGUUGAGGAGCUCUGCCUCAGAACUAUUAAUAUGGGGCUGUUUGAAGAUGUCAAAGCACAUAUACUGUCCCUGGAGAAGCAGGUAGAUAAAUGGGUUCAGGAUAGGGAGUUAGGUGAUGAUAUAUUCUUUGAGGAUUCGACCUUCGUCAAGUGGUGGAAAACACUCCCUCAGCUACAUAGAUCAGGAUCAUGCAUUGCAAAAUUCAUCAAUAACUAAAAAAAUAAAUCUUAAAGCUAUCACCACUUGCUUCUAGAAGUGCAACUAUCAACCGUUGGUCCCUGCCCUGGCCGUGGAAGUUGUGUAAUUAGUUAACCUAAUAUCAUUAGUUUCUAUUUGUAACGUGUGCUUCAAUUAUAACUCAAGAGUGGAGACUCAUUUUGUAUUACGACCAAAUAAGUCAUUAGUGGAUUUUUGCCAAAUGUUAUUAACCAGUAGCAGCAUUAUUGUUGAAAUUAUACUGGCUGUCCGCUGGUAAUGCAUCCAUUUCGGGAUGCCACGCCGCUACUGUUUGUUCAAGAAUUCUGUCAUCCUGAUACAAAAACAAGGAAAGAAAAAUAAGGGCUCUCAAGAAGCAAGCCAUUCUCAACGUGCUAAGAUACAAUGUAUCGAAUAAAAUCAUCACUGUGCAGUUAUAGCGUAAGAACAACAUUAUUGGUGCAAAAUAUAAUAAGCUCAUAUCGAUCUUCAGAUAUAGAUUUAGACAACUUUUAGUGUUAAGCGAGUAAUAGCAAUAUAGCAUACUGCGCAUACAGAUACUUAUAUAGGUAGAGCAAAAAGAAAAAUUAUAUGGUGUUCACAUGUUGCGUGAUCUACAAGCUAUUGAAUCAGACUUUACGGGAAAAUCGUUGCGUAAUAUGUUUUCCCAAUUGUUAUAUUCUCUCUGGGGAACAUAUUGGGUGGGUUUAGAGCGUUAAUUGCUCCGUUUCCAUGUGAACAUGCAAAAAUUGCUAUUCUCCUAGAGCUGUUAAUUUGUUUUUUUUUUUUUCUUAGUAAUGAGGACUUUUUUAACGACGGCAUAUAUAGUAAACAAAGUCGUUAUAAAAUUAUUCCAUAAGAUCUUUAAGUUAGAUCUUUUCUUUCAACAAAGACUUUUAAAUUAGAUGCAUUUAAUUAUAUUUAUUAUUUAGAUGUACCAUUCCAAUUUGUUGUUUUCAACACUAGUCAUGAAAAAUGUAAAAUAUCAAUAUGUAAAUUUUAUAUGAACUAUACUCUUUAAAAAUAUCUCAUCAACUUAUAAUAAAUGAUUUCUAAAUUGAAUCACAAAGUUACUGUCCAUAAAUAGAUAGUUUUUAAUCGUUAGUUAUUUUUAUAUAAUGGUAGAUAAUAUAUGGUGAAUGAUAUAAUAUAAAAUAGUAAAAUAGCAUGAAAAUUGUUAAAUCACACACAAUGAAAAUUAAAUAAUUUUAAAAUUAUUAUUGAGAUUUGAGAAAAAUAAUUGAUUGUCAUUGUUUUUAUUAAUCAAUACAAAUAUUGAUUGCCAAUCAACAUAAAGAUGACUUUAGUUUUUGUUCAUCAAUCAUAUUCCCAGAUACCAUAUCAAUUGUAUCAUUUCCUUUUUUUAUUCAUUCAUUAAUUAUAGAUUUUUUAUUUUUGAAAGAAUCCAUUCAUUGUAGAUAUUGAGCAUUUGUGCUUAUUUAAAUGAAUUUCAUGAGUUUAUGUUCUUGGUCAAUUGUAAGAUAAAAGCAUUAUAUAUGUAUAUAUAUAUAUAUAUAUAUAUGAAGAUUAUUUUGUUCAACUUUUCACUAUACAUAUAAUUUAUAAAAAUCAACAGUAAUGCGUUGCGAAAUUUAUAUCAAUCAAGCAAUAUAAUUAUAAUUUAGUGAAGCUUGAAUGAAUGAGGGAAUUAACGACUAAAAAAAAAGUAUAUGAUCAUCGAAGACGUACAUAAUAAGUCUUACCUUUUAAAACAUUGGUAUUUUAUUUAAAAUUAGAAGGAUUAGGGCUAUUUAUUUUUUAAUCACUNNNNNNNNNNNNNNNNNNNNNNNNNNNNNNNNNNNNNNNNNNNNNNNNNNNNNNNNNNNNNNNNNNNNNNNNNNNNNNNNNNNNNNNNNNNNNNNNNNNNAAGUCAUUAAGUCCUUUUUUUUUCAACUUAACGGAAAACUUUCAAUCUUUAAGUCAUUAAGUUAUUUAAAAAAAAAUUGAUAUUUAUUUUUAACAAUUCAGAAAAAAAAUAAACAUAUUAUUUAAAUUUAGACAUUCAGUUCUAUUAAAAAUUUAAACUCAUUCAAAUUUAUUUAAAUUUCAUAUGAAAAAACAAUCACCAUCUUAAUUUGAAUUUACUUAUGCAUACAACCAUUUGGGAUCUCAUUUUCGUUGAUCACACUUCGAGGAUGACUUUCACGUCCUUCGACAAAUUAUUUCUAAACCAAACAUUGAUUCUUGGGAAAUAUGACUAGAAUGGAUAGUGACAUGACUGGAGAGACUCCAAGGACCUUGACUUAAUAGAAACCAUUCAUUUCAAUUUUCUUCACGUCCUUGCAAAAAUCCUACAGUAAGACAGAGUGUUAGACCAGUCACCGACAAACCAUAUUCUGGUUUUGUUUGAAAUUAAAGUGAUAUAACUUUUAAACUAUAGUUGAUGUAAAAAAAAUUUAUAAUUAUGAAACAAAGGUUACUAAUAUAUCAUAAAUAUAAUUUUUAAAUAAUAAUUUUAAUAAAAUUAUUAAAAAUAUGAUAAAUUAUCAAUAUAAUUUUUGUAAGAUAUAGCAGCUAGUGUUUAAUAAACAUUUUAGUGUUGCCCAACCUCAAUCUUAAGUAGGGCCUUGGUUUAGUCCAAAAUUACCUAGAAUGUUGAAAAAAAAAACUAGACUUUAAUUAUUAAAAUACCCGCUGAUUUACGUUAGAUUUUAUUGAUUCAAUAAAAGCUCAAAACUCGUCUGAAACUAGAAUUUAAUAUUUUUCAACUCCAAUGCAAAAGCUCAAAACUCGCAUGGAGUUUGAAUAAGUGCUUUCAAACUAGUUAUUUAUUCAAUAUCGGUUUAAAAGAAGUGAUACAGGGUGCUAGAGUGGAAAGAUUACAAGGAGUUAUUUCUUUUGAAGAGUGAUAAUUUUAAACAUUUUGUGAAAGAAAUGAGAAUCGAAUUUGAGUUUAAUGUUGAUAUGAUUUUUGUGUUGAUCUUUUAAAAAAAUUGAAAUUACUAAUUUUGGACGAAAAUAUUUAACUAAAUAAAUUUUAAACAUGAUAUAUGGCAUGGUCGAAAAUUAUAUAUCGAAAUCAUAAAUACAACUAAGAUUAUUGUUUAUUUGUAAAGCCCAAGUUAGCCCAAUUCUCAUGACCAGGCCCAAUCCUUAUGUGAUUAAAGUUAACAACAUAUGUUUGAUUUUUGGGAGGCACGUUGAUGUUUUCACAUCUGGUGGAUGAAGUGUGCGAUAAUUCAUGUGACCUGAAAACAUCUCGUUUUAUAAUUUCUCUUCCAAAUGAUGAAUUUAUAUUGAUAGUAUAUUAAUUGAAUACAAAUUAUGUAUCUCAAAUUAAAAAAAAAAAACAUAUUAUUAUUUAUAAUAAAAAAUUCUCAAAUACAGACAUUUACAUUGUAAAAUAGAUUAUUCAUAUAAAAAAUUUGAGAUACAAAUUUAUAUCCUAAUAUUACGUGACAACCGUAUAAAUUUAUACACAUAAAUAAGAAAUAAUAAAAUUACAAAAUUUUGUAUAAAUAAGAAAUAAUAAAAUUACAAAAUUAACUAUCUCAUAACAUUAUCAGACUAUUAUAAUCCAAAUUUGUAAUGCCUAUCGUUAUUCUUUCGGAGAUCCUUAAUUUUGAUGACGAAUUGGGUUGGGGCCCUCAUUAAGAACGACUCAAACUAUGUCUUUACCUAUGAUUUAGAAAAUGAUAAGGGUCUCAAUGUUAUUAUACCGUUAUUAUAUAAGUCAUUUCAUCCUCAAGCUCAGGGGAACGUCGUCGUGUUAAAAACCUUCAAAAUUGAAAAGCUCUGUUUGAAGCUAGUGAGCAGAACACCCGCUUUCUCUUCCCUCGUCCAAUAUUUUCCCGGAAAAUCGAAAGCUUUCCAGGAAACCAGACAGAACGUAACUGUUUCGACAAGCAUGGAAGAAUCAGAAUCGAAUCGUGUAGCAGAGGAAGUUAACGAGGCAAAAAUGAGCAGAAAGGAGAAGAAGAAGAUGGCGAAGAAGAAGAGGAGGAAAGAGAAGAGGAAAGAAAUGGCGGCGAAGGAGAGAGAAGAAGAGGAAGCGAGGUCGAAGGAUCCGGAGGAGCGGAGGAAGUUCGAGAUGAUGAUUAAAGAAGAGGAGGAAAAGAGAGAGAGAGUGUUGAAGGAGUUUGAGGAGAGAGAGAGGCUUUGGAUUCAAGAGAUGGAGUUGAAGAAGAAGAAAGUAGAAGAAGAAGAGGAGAGAAGGAAAGUUAUGGAAGAUAGAGAAAAAGAAGAGGCAGCCAUGAAACAAUUACAGGUUUGUUUUAUUUUAUUUAUUAAAAAGAAUUUUGCAGUUUUUGUUUGGGUUGGUGUGUGUGUUUGGCUGCUGGGAAAGUUGGAGGAAAUAGGAAAUUUAAUAGAAUUUGUGGCCGCUAGAAUUGAUUUUUCCGGAGUUAUUUUUGUUGUAAAAAUGGAAAUUAAGUAUUUUUGUGAGACUUGUUACCGUUGUGAAUUUUUGUUAGGCUCUUUGAAAAUGUUGGAAUGGGAGAGAAUGCAAUUCUAGGUUUAAUUAUCGAUGGGUAUUCAAUAUCUUGCAGGUUGAAAAGGAGAAUGAAUGUGAUGAGGAUGAUGAUUGGGAAUAUGUUGAAGAAGGGCCUGCAGAAAUUAUAUGGCAAGGAAAUGAGAUUAUUAUCAGGAAGAAAAAAGUUAAUUGUUGUUAAGGAUAUUUUACGAAGUUUUCAAUCUUUAUUUUAUAUACAUGAUUUUAUUGGAGUAAUCAAUCUCCAUAGUGAUAAUAACAAAUAAUAAUAGAAAACCUUCGUUCUACAAAUUACUAUAGUUUAGCCCAAAAAUUAAAAAAAAAAAAAGGGCUAACAAGUUUUAUUUGCCAAACAUAGUGACAAAUUUUCCAUAAAAAAGUAGCAGUACAAUGGUAGGUUGUAUAGCUAGUUAAAGUUACAGUACUUGGUAGUGAUGCUUGGAUUUUAGGUGCUUUCAAAAGAAGCCGAUCCAAGGUUUUGGAAAAAUCACAUAUAGGUCCUUCCUAUCAUUAGAUGUAUUUUAUUUAGUACUUUUUUUUUUAUUUUGUCUAUAUCUCAACCUUCAGAUCAUUUUUCUCUAGCUUAUCCUCUCACUUUUUACACUCCAAUUUUAAUGAAAAAAAUUAAAAAUGUAAUAUUAUAUGCUUGAAUUUUUUUUACUCGAAAUUAGAAUAUUAUAUUUGGCGAUAUAAUUAUCUUAAGUUCAAUUUGUAAAUAUAUUAUGUAUAAUGUUUAAUUUAAACUUUUAAUUUUCUCAAUUAAGUGUUUAAUUAAUUGCGAGGCAGGGCAAACCUUUAACCCAGAAAUAAGGCAAGAUUGAUAAAAGUACAUACUAUAAUUUAUAAAAAUACUUAAAAGUACAUAUUCUUAAAAGUACAUUUCUCUUAACUUGGCGCUUAGUCGAGAUCAUUCGUUGGAAAAAAAAAAAUAGUUUAUCUAACAAAUAAUUAAAUGCGACGGCGUUUGAGACUGGAAAAAGAAAAAUAAAAAAUUCAAGUUUGAACCAUUUAUUUUUAUCAUUACCUCACAUCACUAGAAUAAUAAAAGCUAAGAAGGAUAGAAGAGGAAGAAUGAGGAGGAUCCAAAUCCAUAAUCUAAAUCUAAUUUUUUUUUUUUUUUGGUUUUGACCACGAGGUAUUCUGGGGAGGACCCCAACUGUGGGAAGCACCUUUAAGCCCGUACCACAACCCAGAUUAGAAGUCCCCGCUCGAACCGAGAGGCACAUGUUCUCCCAAUAAAGGCGACUUCCCUGCGACUCGAACUGGGGAGCAAACCCAGUCAAGCCACUUAAAGGGACUUCAUUGCCAGUGGAGCCAACAUUUUGUUGGUCUAAUUAAUUAGUUAUACUCACUAAUAUCAUUUAGAAAUUUCAGUUUAAUCUUGUUGAGCUUGGCUACGGCAUCUUUCAUACAUAUCCUCUGGUCGGGUGAAUCCAUGCUACAAUCCAAAGCCAAAUGCAUGAUGCUCAGCAUACAAUCCAUUUUGGCUGCAAAAGCUGGCUCUUCUAGCAGCAAAUUUUCAUCCACAACGUUUGUCAAUCCAUGAGGCAAUGACUCCUUCACCCAGUUCUUUAAACUCAUUUCUCCAGCAAAAAAUUCAUCUGUGGGUUUCUUUCUUGUGAAAGUUUCCAUCAACAAAACACCAUAUCUAUAGACAUCGCAUUUGGAUGAAACAAUUCCCUCUGAUCCGUAUUCUGCAAAUUUAAAAAUUUUCAAUUUAUCACACGUUAUUAAUUAUGAUUUAAAUGACUAAUAAAUUACUAUAGUCUUAAUUUUAUUAAAAAAAAAAGAUUAUAAUAUAUUCUUGAAAGAUUACCUGGUGCCAUGUACCCAACGGUGGCCAUUGUCAUGGUUCGUGUCUCAAAAUUUUCUCCAUCACCUAAGAGUUUGGAAAUGCCAAAAUCACUCACAUGUGCCACCAUAUUUUCAUCCAAGAGAAUAUUACUGGGCUUCAAAUCACAGUGAACCACAGAUGGGGAAUAACCGUGAUGGAGAUAUUCGAGAGCAGAUCCCACAUCUAUCAUCACAUUCAACCUCUCUUGGAUAUCUAGAAAAUAGUUGUGAGAAUACAACCACUUCUCAAGACUACCAUUGGGCAUGAACUCGAGUACCAGAGCCUUAAAAUCAACAUUACUGCAGCUACUAAGAAUCUUUACAAGGUUUCGGUGGCGAAUGCUUCUCAAUACUUCACAUUCAGAGUCAAAACUUCGAAAUGCUCUCUCCAACUGUAAGUUGAAAAUCUUUAUAGCAACCUCAGCCCCAUCCGAGAGUAUCCCUUUAUACACUGAGCCAAAGCUACCUUUACCAAGCAAGUUGGCAUUCAUCAAAUCCAUUUGUUGCUCGUUCAAUUUCUAGAUACGAAAUUCUUCUCCACGUUGCCAGAGGUGAAAAAUCUUCUUGAUGAGCAGAAUUCAUUGAAGCCUUAUUGCGACGUCUCAUGAAGACAACAACAGUCAUUAUCAACAAAAUGGACACGAUUGGAGGUAAGACAUAUUUGAGGAAAAGUGUAACAAUGGCUUUCUUGGAUCGUCUUACGGUGCCAUCAUCCUUGCAGGGUGGGACUUGUAGUCUUGGUGAACCACAAAGUGCAUAAUUCCACAUAAACGAUUGAGCCGAGAAGUUUCUAAAAGGCCCAUUUUCAGGAAUUUUCCCUUCCAGUAUAUUGUGAGACGCAUUCAAAUGUUUGAGAUAUAAAAGUUUCUCCAGUGACUUAGGAAUCUCACCAGAAAGAUUGUUACUAGAGAGAUCUAAGAUUUCCAAGCUUGUGAGAUUGCCAAAUGACUCAGGGAUGUGACCUUGAAAUAGAUUACCAGCUAAUGAUAGAUUAAGAAGCUCUUGAAGGCCGCCAAUGGCUGUUGGAAUAUCACCCGAUAAUUGAUUCCUUGAUAAAUCUAAAAGUAUCAAGGCCUUCAAGCUCUUCAUACUUGAAGGGAGAGAACCAGUUAAUGAAUUUGAUGACAAAUCUAUUUGUAAGAUGCCUUCGAGAGUCCACAAGGAUGAUGGUAUAAUAGAGGUGAGAUUAUUUGAGCCUAAGAGAAGAGAUCUUAGAGAUGUCAAACUUGCCAAGCAUGGGGGUAUAGAUCCAGUGAGCUUAUUUUCAUAUAACAACAAUGAAUUCAACCCCUUUAAGUAGCAAAGCUCAUAUGGAAUGGGUCCUUGCAAAUUAUUCUGACGAAGACUUAGACUUUGGAGCUUCUUUAGUCUUCCUUAACUUGUUGGAAUUGUUCCAUUUAACUCAUUGUUUUGGAGGCUUAAUGUUAUCAAGCCAUGCAAAUUACCAAUUUCUUUGGGAAUGUUGCCCUUGAGCUGGCAAUCGUAUGCGAAGAAUUGCUCAAGAGAUGAAGAGAAAUUCCCAACUGAUGGUGGAAGGAUGCCACCAAAUGGAUUAAGUGCUAAAACGACUCGUUUUAUAUCUCUGCAAUUUGUCAAAGAAGAGAGAAAACUCCAAUCUUCUUCGGUAGAUGAUGACGUUCCCGGGAUGGUCAAGUUGUUUCCCAUAAUGGUAAACCUCACCAGGUGUCUCAAUUUUCCAAAUGUGUUUGGAAUGCGGCCAGAGAAAUAGUUGAAGCUCAAGUCUAGGGCAUAGAGUCUAGAAGCAUUGGUGAUGGAAUUAGGAAUUGUUCCGAUAAGUCUAUUUUCGGACAAGUCAAGAAUCUCCAUGUUCUGAAGCGAGUAGCCAGCAGUUGAUGGCAGGUGGCCUGAGAGUUCAUUUGCUGCUAGGGUAAUAAGAUUUACGGUUGACAAGUUGAAAAUGGUGGAGGGAAUAUGACCAGUUAAUUUGUUGUGAAAAAGAAGAAGAUUUUGCAGAUUUUGUAGAUUGCCAAUCUCGUCUGGAAUUUCACCUGCCAGAAUGCCAACAUUGAGGAGUUAUAUAAAUUUUGAGCUUUUCAAUUCUACAAUAACAGAUGUGCUUAUUAAUAUCAACAAAGAGAUUGAUGAGUAAUAUUUAUUUAUUGUUAGGUGUGAAACAAUAAAUAUAAAAGUUAAUUACAGAAUAAUUUUAAGAUCGGUGAAGCUGCAUUCCUUAAAAUUAAAUUUCAUAUACUGGUUCAUAGGAACUAGACCAUAUGUAUGGCAUAUUAGUGGAGAUAUAAAUUUUGUAUCUUAAUAUUUGACUUGAUAAUUUUGAGAGUUAAAACAUGAGUAAAACAAAUAAAAAAGUUGUAUAUAAUUCAAAAUUUAUUUUAUAUAAAUUAAGAUAUAACCAAUAACAGAACAACUAAAACUCCAACAAAAAAUCAUUCUUAAAAUAAAAGAGCAUGCAUGAAAAUUUGAUAACUUGUGCAUGAAAAAACAAGAAAAAAUAUACAAUAAUAUUAGAAUCCUAAUAUUUGGCCCUCGAGUAUUAAACUAACGUAACAAGUGAUCUUUAAUUGCUACCUCAUACUAAAUAUUAAGGGAAAUUAUCAUUGCACCACUUUUGUUUUGCUUCAUAUUCAUCCAACCACCACAAAAUUGUAACAUGUUCUCUGCACUACCUUUCUUUUCACAUUUGUAUCAACUAACCACUUUUGCACUAACACUGUUAAAUAAUUUAAAUAAAAUGAUAAUUUUACCCCUAAAUAAAUUAGAAGACCAUUUUAUUUUAUAAAAACUUUAAAAAAAUUAUAAUUAUAAAAUAUCCUUAAAUUUAAUAAAAAUAAAUCCCAAAAUUAGAAUUUUUAUUUUUAAUAAAAAAUAUUUUAAUAUAAAUUAUAAUUAUAAAAAAUUGUGAAAUUUUGAGAUUUAAUAAAAAUCCCCUAAAUUAUUAAAAUUUUAGGAUUUAUUCUUUUAAGAAAUAAAUUCAGUUAUUUUAAUAAAAUUUUACAAAAUUAUAAUUUUUUAAUAACAUUUUACAAAAUUAUAAUUUUUUAAUAAAAAUAAUUAAUAAAAUUUUGUAAAAUCUAAAUUUAAUAAAAAUCAAUUGAGCACCUCUAUUUGGGAUUUAUUUUUUAUUAAACUUAGGGAUAUUUUUAUGAUUAUAAUUUUUUAUAUUUCAAAAUUUAUAUAAGAUAAAAUAGUCUUUUAAUUUAUUUGAGGGUAAAUUUAUCAUUUUAUUUAAAUUAUUUAACAAUGUUAGUGCAAAAAUGGUUAGUUAAUACAAAUGUGAAAACAAAGAUGGUGCAGAGAAUAUGUUAUAAUUUUGUGGUAGUUGCAUGAAUAUAAGACAAAAUAAAAGUGGUGUAAUGAUAAUUUCUCAAAUAUUAAUAAAUAAUCUGAUUUAAUGGAGCCUCAUCAGUUGAGACUCAACUUGUGUCAUUCAUUAUGUGGUUGAUAAUUUUUUCUAAUUUCCUAAUGAAUUGCAUAUAUUAUCUCAUAAUCUGAUCGAUGAAUUCCAUAUCAUUUAGUAUGAAAUUUUGGGGUUUGUACCACUUUCUAAAAAAAAUUAAUUUUACCCUAAAGAUUUAUGAUUUUUUUUUCCUUUUGAAGUACUUAGAAAUUGAUGCCACGGGCUAAGCUAAAAAACUGAAAUCUCGUUCUUUUAUAUCUGCUGUUGGGUGCUGGAUUUUUUCCUUAAAAUUAUUUAUUCAUGUGUAGAUUGUAAAAGUAGGAGUACCGGUAAAGCGUAAAUAAACUUUUUAACCCAUACCAUUCGAACAUGAAUAAUCAGCUAAAAAAUUAAAUUAUUUGAAGACUGUUCAGCCAAUUAAGCCCCUAUGGCUCAGUCCUUCUCUUUCUUCUGCUACGGAUCCCUCUCGAAAGAGCAGGUCGGAUUUUGAUUUGUGUAGUUUCUAGCAGUAGUUAUUGCACCAUAUUAUAAAGUGUGUUCUGCAAAUUGAAAUGGAAGCUUUAAAAAGACGAGGUGGAAGGCACGUACCUUGAAGGUUGUUAUUACCAAGAUUUAGAUGCAAGAGCUUACUCAAAUUUCCAAUCUUGGUGGGAAUUUUCCCACCAACAAUAUUGAACCUCAUCUCCAACGUCUCCAGCUUUGAUAAGUUGUACAGAUAAUCCGGGAAGGGACCUCUGAAGCUGUUAUUGCGAAGACUAAACAUUCGUAGUUUCGGCAAGCUGCCAAUCCAGGAUGGAAGGACUCCACUCAAUUGGUUGAAAUUGAAAUCAAUGAGUUUGAGCCUUCGUAAUUGCCUCAAUUCAUUAGGCAGAUGGCCAUGAAAAUUGUUACCACUAAUAUUAAGAGACACCAGAAAUGAAAUAUUUCCCAAGUGUGCCGAAAUGGGGCCUUCGAGACUAGAAUCUGAAAGAUCCAAUUUUGUGACUCUAUGAUGACGAGUGUCACAAGAAAUGCCGACCCACCUGCAUACUGGAUAAGAAACUGACCAAUUGUACGUCAGGAUACCUCGAGGAUCAAUGAGUUGCUCUUUGAAUGCAAGAAGAGCAUGUUGAUCCGUCGUUAUGUUUUUAACACUACUCGCAGGCAAAGCUAAGCUGGACACGAUGAAAUAGCGUAAGAGCAACAUUAUUGGUGCAAAAUAUAAUAAGCUCAUUUCGAUCUCCAUAUAUAGAUUUAGACAACUUUUAGUGCUAAGCGAGUAAUAGCAAUAUAGCAUACUGCGCAUACAGAUACUUAUAUAGGUAGAGCAAAAAGAAAAAUUAUAUGGUGUUCACAUGUUGCGUGAUCUACAAGCUAUUGAAUCAGACUUUACGGGAAAUUCGUUGAUUGGUCUUCUGGAAAAACUAAACUAGUCUGAAACAAUGACAAUGUUUUCCCAAUUGUCAUAUUCUCUCUGGGGAACAUAUUGGGUGGGUUUAGAGCGUCAAUUGCUCCGUUUCCAUGUGAACAUGCAAAAAUUGCUAUUCUCCUAGAGCUGUUAAUUUGUUUUUUUUUUUUUUUCUUAGUGAUGAGGACUUUUUUAACGACGGCAUAUAUAGUAAACAAAGUCGUUAUAAAAUUAUUCCAUGAGAUCUUUAAGUUAGAUAUUUUCUGUCAACAAAGACUUUUAAAUUAGAUGCAUUUAAUUAUAUGUAUUAUUUAGAUGUACCAUUCCAAUUUGUUGUUUUCAACACUAGUCAUGAAAAAUGUAAAAUCUCAAUGUGUAAAUUUUAUAUGAACCAUACUCUUUAAAAAUAUCUCAUUAACUUAUAAUACAUUAUUUGUAAACUGAAUCACAAAGUUGUUAAUGCUGUCCAUAAAUAGAUAGUUUUUAAUUGUUAGUUAUUUUUAUAUAAUGGUAGAUAGUAUAUGGUGAAUGAUAUAAUGUAAAAUAGUAAAAUAUGGUGAAUGAUAUAAUGUAAAAUAGUAAAAUAGCAUGAAAUUUGUCAAAUCACACACAAUGAAAAUUAGAUAAAUUUUAAAUUAUUAUUGAGAUUUGAGAAAAACGAUUGAUUGUCAUUGUUUUUAUUAAUCAAUACAAAGAUUGAUUGUCAAUCAACAUAAAGAUGGCUUUACUCUUUGUUAAUCAAUCAUAUUCCCAGAUACCAUAUCAAUUGUAUCAUUUCCUUUUUUUUCAUUCAUUAAUUAUAUAUUUUUUUAUUUUUGAAAGAAUUCAUUCAUUUUAGAUAUUGACCAUUUGUGCUUAUUAAAAUGAAUUUCAUGAAUUUAUGUUCUUCGUCAAUCGUAAGAUAAAAGCAUUCUAUAUAUAUGAAGAUUAUUUUGUUUAACUUUUCACUAUACAUAUAAUUUAUCAAAAUCAACAGUAAUGCAUUACGGAAUUUAUAUCAAUAAAGCAAUGUAAUUAUAAUUUAUUGAAGCUUGAAUGAAUGAGGGAAUUAACGACUAAAAAAAAAGGUAUAUGAUCAUCGUAGAGGGACAUAAUAAAUCUUACCUUUUAAAACAUUGGUAUUUCAUUUAAAAUUUAGCAGGACUUAGGGGCUGUUUUUUUUCUUAAUCACUUAAUUGACUUAAUUUCAAUUGGUUAAGUCAUUAAGUCCCUUUUUUUUCAAUGUAAUGAAAAUUUUCGGUCUUUAAGUCAUUAAGUUAUUUAGCCAAUUUUGUUUUACCUUUUUACUUAAUCUAAAAUGUCUAAAUGAUAUCGUUAGAAGAUAUUCUCUAAAAUAUCCCUAUCUAAUCAAUUAAUUUUCAUCCUUAACUAAAUAAAAUUUAAUAAUUAGCAUUAUUACCCAUUUGUAUAACUUGUGAUAAUAUAGUGGUAGAAUAUUAUUAUUUUUAUCUUUUUAUUUUCUUCAAAUUAACAUUAUUUAUCUUAAUAAUUUUUUUAUAAAUAUUUUUCAUAUAAAAACGUCAUGAACUAUAAUAAAAUUGAUUAACAUAUACUAAUUUAGAAUAUAAAUGGUUGUAUUUAAUUAACUAUGAUUUAUAUUAUGAUAAUAUAUUAUUUUAUUUAAGUUCUUUGAGAUGUUUAUUAUUUAUUUAACAUUUAUAAUUUGUAAGGGAACAAAUAUAAAAAUAUUAGUUUUCAGAUUUUUAAAAUAAAAAAAAACAAUUUAAUUUUUUUUUAGCAAUUCAGACAAAAAAAACAAGCAUAUCAUUCAAAUUCAGAUAUUCAAUUCUAUUAUGAAUUUAAACUAAUUCAAUUUUAUUCUGAGUUCAAAUAAAAAAAAAACAAACGCCAUCUUAAUUUGAAUUUACUGACGUAUACAACCAUUCGGGAUCUCAUUUUCGUUGAUCACAAUUCGGGGAUGACUUUCAUGUCCUUGGACAAAUUAUUUCUAGACCAAACAUUAAUUCUUGGGAAAUAUGACUAGAAUGGAUGGGGACAUAACUGAAGAGGACUCCGAGGACCUUGACUUACUAGAAACCAUUCAUUUCAAUUUUCAAUUUUCAAUUUUCUUCACGUCCUUGCAAAAUUCCUACAGUAAGAGAGAGUGUUGAACCAGUCACCAAUGAACCAUACUCUAAUUCUGUUUAGAAUUGAGGUGAUACAACUUUUAAGUUGUAGCUGAUAUAGAAAUUACUAAAUCUUUUAGGUUAUUUUUGAAAAUAAAACAAAAUUAUUUAUUUUUGAAUUCAUGUUACUAUCAAAGAUUUUUUCUUAAUAAAAUUAACCAUAACACCGCGUGGGAUAACUCUAUGUGAAUACUUUUUAGUGAAUUUAUUUAAGGGUUUCAAAUUUCAGCAGACUCUAUUAGCUGCAGUUCUUCUUGUAUGAAUAACUUUCUUUUAAAAGUAUGGAAUAAUCUACUAACAGUAUUAUUUGCAUGAAUUACGUUCAUGCAAACAUUACUUAUCAAAAAUUAUUUGCAUGAAUUUUACCAUAUAUGAAAAUAAUACUUGAAUAUAUGUGGUAUACAUAUAUUCAAUCUCUAAAAAUCUUGGGUAGCUCUUGUACUUGACUAGAGGAGUAUAUUUUUUAUAGUAACAUUGUGCGCUCAUCUACUCACGACUCAAUCUUCGCAUAAUGUUGCAAAUCAACCAUAUUUGCAAUCUCCUGAUUAAGGCCAUUCAGGAAUCGUGCUAUUAUAGCUUCUCUAUCUUCCUCCACAUUUGCUCUAAUCACUACAAGAAAAAGGACCUACUAUGACAAGUAAAACUGUCAUAGUAGGGGUUGGAUUACGGUUGUUCGUUGUAGCCAGCGUUAAGAAUUAACGACAGAACAAUACCUAUCACAGCCUGUGAUAGAUAUAACUAGUCACACAACUAUCAUAACUUUAUAAGAAGGAAAUAUAAUAAUUUUGAAUUUGACCCCCUUUUUUUAAUUUGGCAUGCUAUAUUUUGAACUUUUAGCGGGAAAUCUUAAAUUUGGAGCGAAAAUAAAAAUAAAAAUAAAAAUAAAUUGAAUUUUUUUUACAAUUAAUUCUGAAAUUAAAAUUAUAAUUAAUAAAAAUGACUAUUUUGUUACUACCAUGAAAUCAUUAUCAUUUUUAAAAAAAUCUUUUUAGAAAUUAAAAUUUCAUAAUUUAGUUAAUUAAUUAGAUUGUUGAAAUGAAUAUUACAAAUAAAAAUUCACUGACAAAGAAAAUGAAAUGAAUAACACUGAAUAAUUAUUGAUAAUUGUCAACAAAUAUAAUUUAUCCAAAUACAAGUGACAAGCCCAAAAUAAAUAGAAAGUAUGUAACAACAUAAAAACCAAAUUUCAGCAACAUGUAGAAGACUAGCAAUUUUGAGACUAAUGAACCAUGAUCAGUUCAUUUCCAGCAACACAACCAAGCCAACAACACUGAUCAGACCAAAAAAAAAUUCAUUCUAGCAGUUUUAGUAAAGCAUACAACAAGUACCAAUCUAAGAAGCUAAACGUGCAAAGAUGCACCAAUACUCAGGACUUGUUUUGGCAUCAAAGAAAAAAGAUGGCCAACUCCAGCAAUACCCACCAUCUUUAUCAAAUUCCAACAUAGCAAGUGUAACAAGGUAGGUAACUGCACAAGUAAAAUAUAACUUUAUCAAAUUCAAAGUCUGUGACAAUGCAUAUAGAUUAGAAUACUAGGCAAUAGAAUAAUAGCUAGCUGAGGAUCGAAUGGAAAUUUUUUGAAAUUCAUCAAAUUUGAUCUCAGCUAAUAAAUUACCUAGGUGGCUUCCCCUUUCAUACCAAUUUAGUAUAUCUGAGUUGUGUCACUCUCAAAAUUGUCAGGGAAGUGUAUUGUGUAAAAUAGCUUUUGCAGCAUAUUUUUUGAAUCAUAUCUUCAAAAAUCCUACAUCCUCAAUAGAACUUCAAAAGAUAACCAGACAUAAUCAAUCAACACAACAAAAAUGUUUACCUAAUUGUAAUGUGAAAAAAGUCAUGCCAAUAAAUCAAAAGCAAAUCAAUAUUACAAGUAAAACUCAAUGAACAUAAUUUUAAUUCAAAAUAGAGACAUAGAACUAGAUUCAAGUACAAAAGUCUAUGGCUAUGGUGCAAGGAUGAGGACUUUUAUGAAGUCGACCAAACUUUCAAUGAAUGAUUCAAGGAAAUCAGUAACGAAUAGACUCUGUGCAGCAACAAAUAUUUUUCAAUCACAUAUAUGCCAUCCACGUUUCAGACACACUUCUUGGAAACAAGUCAAUGUCUAGAUAAAAGGUGAACCAUAAAAGAGUAUAAAGUGCACAAAUUACCCCAGAAGAAUUCAUAUGUUACUCCCAUGCUUUAAAAACUGACUUGACACUCCCUGGAACAGUCUUAUUUAAUGCAAACACCUAAAAAAACAAUCCAAUAAAAACGAAAAAGGAAAAAUUACUGAAAACAAUUAAAUGAAAUGAACUGAAAAAACAAACAACAAUAAUUUCUUUUCAAUCCUUGACAAUGAAAUGAACAAAAAAUAGAGCCAACAACAGCUCAGAAAGAAGUAGCUCCCAGUCACAAAGCAAACAAGGCAUUCAUUCACAUGAAGCAGCCCUUCACCAGACCUGUAAAGGACCAUAACCCAGCCUAUCUACUGCAAAGUACACUAAAACAUGGUGGGGAAAAUUAUCUUAAAACAGCUCCCGGGCAAUUACCACAGAAUUUUUUGAAAGCUCACUGAUGUGAUGCGAUGGAGCUUCUUUUAUGAUAUGCACAGCUUUUUGGUUUGGCUUUGAGCACAAUCAAAAUCCAAAAACAUCAGUGAGUAAGAAAACUAAGCUAAGCAGAUAAGGCCUUUGCAAAACAAAUUGUAAAGUAACUAAAUGCAUACAAAAACAGAAGCAUCAAGGUCAAGCUAACCUCAGAAGUAGCAUUAUUAUCUACUGAAGUCUUUGCUUCAACAAAUUUCCAUGAAGCAGACAUGUUACUUGUCCUCAAAGAAUCAAGUAUUGAAAGGCCCAAAUCGAUUUUGUUGGCUGCGAUAACAUCGAUGACAUAAACAUUGGUUUAAAUAAUUUGCCACAUAUAUAGUUAAUAUAAUUAAUAACAGGAAAGCAUAGUUGCUGUAAGUAAGGUAAUACAAAUAACUUGUAACUAAAACUCUUCACCAACACACACUUACAUCUUUUGAUAGUAGAGAUUUAAAGUACUACGGUGCCAUUUUUUCUUUCCAAUGUAAUUUUGCACUAGUCAAUUAAAUUUUUAACUACAUAAAUAAAGAGAGUAACCAAGAUCUCUUAACUUAAAUAAUAACAAUAAGAAAAUAAAAUAUAGCAACAAGCUACAUGCUUGCUAGAACCACUUGGAAUAUCAUUUCAAUCUAGCACAAGUAACAACAAUAAUUUUCAAAUAAGUGACAAAGAUUAACAAACUUCGAACAAAAACUACUGAAAAUCUAAUGCUAUAUUACACAAGCAAAGUACAAUAUUCUAGUCACUCAAGGAGCUAAUAUGGUGCUUUUAGAAGCUUAGAGUUGACGUUCAGUAACCAAAAAUAAAUAAAUAAAAUAUAUAACCAAAAAGCAAAAAGCACCAAUGCCAUGAGUAAAUCAGGAUUUUAUAGAAUGCAAUAAAACAAACAAUAGGUCAAGUUUAAAAGCAAGCAAAAAUAAUUUAAAAAAAAACCUAAAACAACCGAAAGUGAGAUAAAUGUUAGAUUUGAAAAUAUACAAAUUAAAAUGAAUGAUCUAAAUAAUUAAUUAAUCAGAGAGAAUUAACCAAUCGAAGAGGAGGUGCAAAGCCCUUGGCCAACAAAGAAGAUCAACCGCACAAGAACUGAGAAGAAAAUAAUAGGAUCCCCAAUUUGAAGACUGAACAAAAUGUCAAGGUGAUUAGCUGCACAAGAACAAAACCGAUAUCAUUCUAUAGGUUCAGGUUUCGUUCAUUCCAGCAACUAGUACAUUUAAGCACAUAAAUUUUAGGAAAAAAAAUCAUUUUCCAACCCAGUGAACAAAUUUUAGAUAAACCUUUAGUGCUUAGAACUACACCUUUAGUGUUGAAAUUGACAAGAAAUUUUAAUUAAAUUAACAUGCAAGAGAAAAUAAGGAGAAUAAUUACCUGUGUUAAUCGAAAAAUUGAGCUUAAUCAACGAUGGGUUUUUAGUUAGGGUUUUGAAAUGCAACUGUUGUGGCACAUGUUCAGUGGGUUCUUCGUGUGGAUCUCGAUGAUGGCCAAAAUCAACGGUGAGUGACAAGGUAAAAUCGACGCCGGGACCUGAGAUAAAAUCGACGAUGUUACUGAUGCAAGGGUUUGAGGCGAUAUGUUGUUAUGAGAGUGAGACCGUGUGAAGGUGAGAGACUUUGAGUUUUGGCUAAACACUUGGGAAAAAAACCGAUACGAAAUGUUUUGUGUUUAUUCAUUUUUAUUUACUUUUCUCUAAACGCUACCGUUUCUUCUUUUUUUUUCCUUUCAUUUUUUAUUUAUCUUGUUUAAUAAAAUCAUUUUAAAAAUUUAAGUCAAAUCAUUUGAAAAUAAAGUCAAAAUAAAAAUUUAUUUCAAACUGCCUGACGGCCAAAAUUACUAUCACAGACUAGUCAUCAAUUUAUGAUAAUCUAAUAUCCAUCACAAAUCUGUCUCACUAUUAUGAUAGAACAAAUUUUUAUCACAAUUUUAUCAUAUUUUAUUGACAUAAAAAUUUUCUAUCAUAAAUCUGUCAUAUUUCUGUAAAAUAAGAGACUCAAGCCAAGAACCGUCACACAUGUACCAGUCAUCGUAGGUCAUUUUUCUUGUAGUGAAUAAUGACAAUCUCCAUUUCUUUGUAAUAAUCCUCUGUACUUCGGCUAACUUGUGCAAGACUUUGUAAUUUUUUGUACAAAUCUGGAUAGUAGUGGUUAAAUACAAAACGCCUUCUCAUCAACGAUUUCAUUUUAUCUUAUGUCUCAAUUGGACAUUUCCUAUUCUGUUUCCUGUAUAUAACAAGCUUAUCCCACCAAGUAAUAGCAUAAUCAGAAAACUCAAUCACAAUCAAUUUUACUUUUUUUUACAUCUGAAAAAUUAUGACAAUCAAAUAUGAAUUCCAUUUUCUUCUCCCAUUCAAUGUAUGCUUCCAAGUCAUAUUUACCUUGAAAAGAUGAAAUCUUCAUCUUUAUGUCACUUAAUCUAUGAUCCCUAUUCCUAGCUCUGCUACCCCAUCCAUCUCUCCUAUAGCUACCCUCUAAGUGCUCCCUUUCAUCAUACUCAUCCUUAUAAUAGUCAUCAAUCUCUCCUCUAGUUAGAGCUCUAUCCCUCCUACGUGCUUGAGGAACAGGUUGUGGUUACCCCGCACAUGUGUUCUCUACUUGAUCCAAACGCUUGUGUAUAUGCUCUAAUUUAGCCCUCAUCAUCCUUCUCAUCUCUCCCAUCAAUGCUUAAAUUUCCAAAUUAUGAGUAGUUGCGGAUUGAUCCUCUUUAUUUUUAAAUGGUUAAGGGUUGUGAGACAUGGCUAACGUCUGCAAAAGAAAGUUAGAAACAAUAUAGAAAGGACUUGACCUCACUUCCUUACGUGUUUCACUCAAGAAAAUGAUUCACUCAAUUUCACUCAUGUUUCACUCAAAUUUAUUGGCUUUUACCCUCUAAUAUGCUCACACCCACUUGCCUUUUUCCACUCGUAAUAAUUCUUACUCGAUUCUUAUCAAACUAAUCAAACUAAUAUCAAGAUUCUAAUAGCAAUUCACAAUGAUUAAACUAAGGAGACUCGAAUUUCAAGAGCAAGAAUGCAAUGUUUACGAAAGGUUGGGUUUCGAUUUCGGGCAAAAAUUUUCACCAUGGGUAAAACUAAUUUUGGACUCUACAAGACACUAAUAAAUGAAAAAUGAACAAAUGAUUUAAGGCGGACGUUGGGGAUUUUUUUUUUAGGAAAAAGAAUAGGUAAAAUUUGCGGAUUUAAGGAUAAUUAAACCACAAAGAUGCAAAUUGAUGAAAAAGAAACCGUAAAAAUAUUGUUCAUGCAAUACUAUUCACAUGGCACUGUUCAUGACUCUUUUUUUGUUUUCUUAAUACUAGAACAAGAAUGAAAAAUCUCAAAUAAGAAUUUAAACAAAAAAGAAAGAUGAAUAUGAUCUUAGUGCCUAAGCUCUAAUACUAAAUGAUACGAACCUCGUCAAGAAUUGACGCGACCCUAAUCAAUUUAAUCCCUAAGAUCGGAUCUAAACUUGAAAUUGAAUGAGUACUUAAAACCACAUCCUUGGAAGGACUAACAAUCAAAGAAGCAAAAUUGGUGAUUCAAAUUCAGAAAGCUCGAAGCCAAAAGAGAGGGACAAUGAGUACUUAAAACAAGGAUUGCCCGCAGUGGAAGGCCUGAGCAAUGAGUUCACCAAUGUAAAGAAAGCAGCUAGGAUAGAACAUGACACAUUCAUCAAUACCUGCUCCUCACUUGGAUCCCGCGUAGUAGAAAUUCGGCAACUAGUAACACGCUGUGCUAGCAGUGAGAGAGGCGGCUUUUUAAAGGAAAUGAAAGCGUUUCUGGAGGAUUGUGAAGAAGAGCUUAAGCUAGUGAGAGAAGCAAAAUAGGACUAUGGAACUUGUUAAGCGGACAACAGAGUACCACAAAGCAAGAGGUUCCAAAGAAAAAUAGGAGCACCCACUUCAACUGUUUGUUAUAGUAAAAGAAUUUCUGAGCAUGGUUGAUAGAGUUUGUGCUGACAUUAGUCGAAAUUUACAGAAGAAGAAUGGGACAACAAGCGCAUCAUCACCACCACCACUGUCACCACCAAUAAGAAGUCUAGUGAAAUUCAUCAACUUGCCAAAACAAUUCAUGUCAGAUAUUCGAGCAGCAACAUAUUCCAGUGAAUCAAAUGAUAGUUUCUGAAGCAUGCUUGGAGUAGAAAAUUGUUUAGAUUGAAAUAAAAUUGAAGACCUUUCCUAGCUUCCUUUCCAACGAUUUUAAUUCGCUCUUGGUUGAUCUUACAGAGAAUGAAUGAUUUUAAACUCCCAUGUCCUAAGGAAAAAUUUCCGACAUAGAUUUAUCAUAUCACCAGUUCUUCAAUGUUAAGAGCCAAAGCAUAAUUUCUCGAUCAUUGAAAAAGUCAAACUAUAACCCGAGACUAUUAGCAGAUACAUAUAAUAAAUUAAUUAUUCAUUUUCUAUUAUUAGGAAAACUGUCAUAAAAAAACCAAAACGAUCUAAGUGCCUGUUUGAUAUGGCUUAUUUAAUGGGCAUAAGUGCUUAUUUAUUCUCAUAAGCUCUUAUCAUAAUUUUUGUUGUUGUUUGGUUAUUUUUUAGUAGAGUUUUUAUAGAUUAAAUAAGUUAUUUUGUCUCUAAUAGGAAAAACUCAAAUUUUGAGCUUUUGCGAGUAGAGGUUGAAAUUUUUUUUAUAUGUUAAAAUAUUAAAAAUAUCGUCUACUUAUUUGACAAUCUUUUUUCAUUCUUAUUAUAACAUAACAUAACAAAACUUGCAUAUUAAAAUAAUUUCAUAAAUUUUUAAUAAAAACUCUUGUUGACAACUAAACAAUUAAAAUUUCUUAGAUAAAAGCUCUUCUGCCAAAAUCUUUACUUAAAUAAGUUUUACUUGAAAAGUUGUACCAAACGAAAUCUAAAUCUUAUCUAUUAGCCUGCUAGGUGGGUCCUACAGUAAUUUGGGCCGAAUUCUGGGUUAUCGCAAGGAUUUAGGCCCAACUCAAUCCAGAUCAGCUGCCUGUACCGGGGUUUUUAAUUAAAGAUGCCUUAAAAGUAGGGUAUUUAGUUAAAUAUACCCCAUACUUGAAAAUUAUCUAGAUAUACCUUUUUAUGUGGUACAUUGUCUAAAAUAUCCCUAAAGAAAAAUAUAAAACACACACAACUCACCUCCAACACUCUUUACUUCUCACUCUUUUUAACUCCACACAACAAAAACUCACUCCACACUCAAAAUCACUCACGAACAGCCAAUGUACUGAGAUUUUAGUUUGCAGCUGGGUGCAUUAUUCAUCACAUGAAUAAGGUAUUUGAAACUUUAUUUUUAUUUUGUGUUAUUUAUUUAUUUUGUUGACAUUAUAUUGUUUUUAGGGUUUUGUUUGGUUUGUGAUAAAUAAUAAAGCAACUCACAUUCAUAUGACUGUUAUUUGAUGGAUUUUAUAACUACAUUCAUUAAAACUUGAAGUUGCUGCCAAAAUUUUGUUCUGCACCCCGACAUACACGACAGCAGUCGUGUAUGUAUGGAUUUACACGACUGUAGUCGUGAAAAUGUGCAAAAGAUUCAAAUUAUUAUGACACCCUAUAAUUUUAUUGGUGCAAAAAAUAUAUUAUUUUCACUAGAUAUAUCCUUUUGCUAUUACUGGACUAUAGUGGUGUGUUUUAAUAAGUUACACGACUACUAUCGUGUAUGUAUGAACUUACAUAUUAUAAUUGUACAUAUAUGUAAACUGUUCCAACUGUUAUGAGAUCCCAGCAUUUUAUCAGUGCAAGAAAAAUAUUUUUUGAAGAAAAAAUAUGUCCUUUGACUAUUUAUAGUCAUGUAUUUCUAUAAUUUACACAACUAUCAUCAUGUAUGUAUGACUUUUGUCAUGUAUGUAUGAAUUUACACGAUAGCAGUUGUGCAAGAUUGAAAGAUAUAGUAGCUGUUAUGACACAUAACAUUCUGUUAGUAUAAAGAUUACAUUUUUUUACUAAACAUAUUCUCUAACUGUUUACUAGACUAUAGUUGUGUAUUUUAGCAAGUUACACAACUAUUGUCGUGUAAACUAGCAAUUGCACAACAGCAGUCAUGUAAAUAGAUAUAUAGUUCCACACUUCAUAAUAUACCUUGUUUGAUUUUUUUUUUUUUUUGUAUAAUCAACUGUUGUAUUAUUGCAAAAAGUGACUUCAGUAUGUAUGCCUAUUAUUCUUUAGAAUCAUAAGAAAUUAGGAUAGCAUCACAAGGUGAAGAAAAGUUACGCCGUAAGUACUGUAGGUGUGGUUCUUAAUGAUAUAAUCGACUAACUUGCAAUGCACCAAUCUCACUGUCUAACAAUGAGCCCGUAGUUAGACUGAAUGAAACAAAAACAAGUACACAUACUACUAUGAACCUUACAUACUUGUCAUUUUUGUUGUUUUAAUUUCUUUAAUAUCUAAAAUAGUUAGUUGAUAAAUUUCUACCUUUUUUGUUUUGCUGAUGGAUAAACAUGUUUGUGUGGCUUAUGUUAUUUUCAAAAGGAGGCGACCGGGGCCUUAUAAUACAUGGGUCGAGUGUUUAGGCUAAGGAUGCAAAUAAUUAUGAUGAUUGUGCAGCAACUUCCAUUGUAUUACAACUUAUUUAUUAUUUGAACAUGUAUUGGAUCUAUGUUGUUUGAUGUACAAUUACUUUUGUUAUUUGUCAAAUUGAAGUAUGAUAUGUUAAAGACUAUGUUGAUUUGUUAUCAUUAUAAUGAAUGUUUUAGGUAAUUUUAUGUUCUAUGUCCACUUACCCAACUACAGUCGUGUAUUUUGGCUCUUACUCGACUAUUGUCGUGUAUAUCUGAUUGUACUCAACUAUAAAUGUGAAUCUAUUAAAUACUCGACUAUUGUCGUUUAUUUAUGAAAAUACCCGACUAAAGUUAUGUACCAAUGCAAAUACCAACUGGUUAUGUAUGUUUACAAAUACUCAACUGAUGUCGAGUAUUUGUGAAAAUACCCGACUGCAGUCGUGUACUAAUACAAAUACCAGUUGGUCAUGUAUGUUUGUCAAUAUUCGACUGCAGUCGAGUAUCUGUGAAAAUACCUGACUACAGUCGUGUACCAAUGCAAAUACCAGCUGGUCAUGUAUGUUUGCAAAUACUUGACUGCAGUCGAAUAUCUGUGAAAAUACUCUACUGCAGUCGUGUACCAAUCCAAAUACCACCUGGUUAUAUAUGUUUGGAAAUACUCGACUGCAGUCGAGUAUCUGUGAAAAUACUCGACUACAGUCGUGUACCAAUACAAAUAUCAGCUGUUUAUGUAUGUUUGUAAAUACUCAACUGCAGUUGAGUAUCUGUGAAAAUACCCGACUGCAGUCGUGUACUAAUGCAAAUACCAGCUGGUCAUAUAUGUUUGGAAAUACUCUACUGCAGUCGAGUAUCUGUGAAAAUACCCAACUGCAGUCGUGUACCAAUCCAAAUACCACCUGGUUAUAUAUGUGUGGAAAUACUCGACUGCAGUCGAGUAUCUGUGAAAAUACCUGACUGCAGUCGUGUACCAAUGCAAAUAUCAGCUGGUCAUAUAUGUUUGGAAAUACUCGACUGCAGUCGAGUAUCUGUGAAAAUACCCAACUGCAGUCGUGUACCAAUCCAAAUACCACCUGGUUAUAUAUGUGUGGAAAUACUCGACUGCAGUCGAGUAUCUGUGAAAAUACCUAACUGCAGUCGUGUACCAAUGCAAAUACCAGCUGGUCAUGUAUGUUUGCAAAUACUCGACUGCAGUCGAGUAUCUGUGAAAAUAUUCGGAGACAGUCAUGUAUUUGGGCUGAGCAUUUCUUGAGCAUAUAUGACCAUUCUAUUGCAUCACAUACAUUAUAUAAAAUUAUCUUCUCUGUCAUUAAUAUACUUAAUAAAAAAAACAUAUGUAUGAUGUCAAAUUAACUUUAAUGAUAUCAAAUAUCAACAGCAUCCCAUUGUAAUCAUUACAUCUCAUGAUAAGUAAUAAAAAAAAAAUGACACAUCAAUGAAGUUUUUAAGAGUGAGACACUACGUAGUUUUUUUCCAAAACCUACUCCAAAAUAAUUUGACAGCCAAUGCUUUUUGAAAUUGUGCAACAUCAUCUUGUUAGCAAUAUGAAUUGACAUCAAGUCAGUGGGCCAGGACCUCCAAGAACUGCAACAAAAAUGCUUCAUAAUCACUACUAAAAAAAUUCAUAUAAAUCAAUCGUUAAAAAUCACCAUUGUUAUUGUUAAGUCAAAAAAAUAUAAUUUCAAUUUGUAGUAAAAAUAAUACUUCAAAUUUAUUAUCACUGUCGUAAUAUAUUAUCAAUCUACUAAAUGAUCACACUGUCAUAAUAUAUUAUCAAUCUACUAAAUGAUCACACAACAUAAAAGCAACAGAUAUGAGAACUUUUUACAACUUAAAAAUGUUCUAUAUAUAAGACAACAUGACUUUCUUAAACUAGCAUCUACAUGAUGAACAUAACUAUAUUAUUUCAAGAACAAACCCAUCAAAUUAAAAUAUAUUGCCAAUAACUAUGAACUCAAAUAAUUUUUAAAUGAGUUAUAAACAAAAAUAAGAAAUAAACCAUCACUACCACAUGACAUAAAAAUCAAACUUUAUAUAUCAAGUAUUUUAACAAUUCUAAAUAAAGUAUAAAUAUUCAAAGGAAAUGUUGAAUUUUUCCAUAACACUCAAACAAUUAAUUUUCAUUAGUUCAAUCUGAUUAAUAAGCUAUUAAGUAUGUGUAUAAUUGUCAAAAACUAAAAACAAGCCUAGGACGAGUGUAUUAAAGGGCAAUUCUCCAAUAGUUAACUAGUUGGAAAUAUAUACAACAACAUUUGCUGCACAAUAAUAUCAAAUCCUAAAUGCUAUGUGACUUCUUUAGUCAAUAGCCUCACAGUGAGACAAAUUAAUAAAAUGAUCCAACAUUGUUUCAAAAUUCACAAGUCGUUCAAAACACAUUUAUUAAUAGUGUACUAUCAAUAGUUUUAUGCUGAAACAAAUAGCAAAUUGUUAAUAAAUUAGAAUUGCAAAAUAAAGGUUCUAUAGCAAAUAAUAGAGAAAACCCAGAUUGUAGCAUAAUGAAUGCAUACGCAGCUGAAGAAAAUUGAUAUAUAAUUCCCAUGGAUGAAGUUCAACUACAAACAACAAGUAAAAUUAUAUAAAGAUCUAAUGCAUAAACUAGUGUAGCCAUAACCGAAAAUUCAUAAGGAUAAUAUUUGUUUCAUCCAAUUACCUAUGAAUAUUUAAUUAGGAACUCCCACAACCAUUAUUAAAGAGCCAUAAAAUCACUCUCUUCAAUUUCAAAUCCACAAGUCAAAGAAGCUUCAUUACAUUACCAGCAAGAAAGAUUAUCAGUAAAUAAGCAAGAUAAUGACCAAAAUCAUGUGGGUAAUGACCAAAAUCAUGUGGGUAAUUUGUUUUUUAAAACCCUAAUGCAUAUAACCCUAACAAUUAUGCACCAUAAAUUCUCUUUAUAAAGUAAAAAAUAAGUGUAAAUGUGGUUAAUGACCUUUAGUUCGGUGAAUUUCCAGCCUUUAAUUCGGUGAUUUUGUAGCCUUUAAUGUGGUGGAUGAACUUGCAGCAGCAGGAGCAUGAACUUGCAGCAGCAGGCGUUGUGUAUGGUAGCUCGUGAAGGUAGAUUUUGAAAUUUGAAGAAUUAAAUUGGGGUAAUUCUGUAAUUGCACAUUGAAAAAGGUAUAUAAAAGAAAUUUUGAAUUAUGGGGGUGUAGUUGGAUAAAUACCUAACCUUUAGGGUAUAGAGGGGACAAAUCCCUGGCCUGUACCCGCGACAACAUGUAGCACAAGCCGCAAUGCAGUGAUUACGAAGGGAAUAGGAUCUACAGUUUCAGACAAACGUGUAUUGGUUACUGCAUUGUUCAUCUGCUAUAAGCUAUUAAAUAAAUAAUCUUAGAGCUGUUAUAAACUAUAAUAGUAGUUAGUUUUCCAUCCCAGGAGAUGUCUGAACCUUUUUCAGUCUUGGAUAAAAGAAUUAGAUUUACUCGACUAAUAUUGUUUUAUUUGAGAAAGGGGAGAGAAGAAACCAGAAGUGGUUGCAUCGUGGGCGGCUUGACUCUUGAGCGAGCUACGAGCUUGACCUGGAUCAAAGUGAAAGUCGAGUCAACGAUUGGGUAAUACCCAAAAAAGGUCAUUUCCUUACACAAAAAUUUCCAGGAACGCGUUCAAAACUUAAAACAAGAAACAUUAUAUCUCCUCCACGACUUGAAGAUAAAAAAGACAAUAAUAAUCAAUUAUGCAAAGCUUCUAAACCGGGAAAUUUUCUCAACAAGUAGUAUAACAGUUGUAGAAACGAUGGCAAGUGAAAGACUUGGAGAGGUGAUAAGCAUGAAAGAAGAGGUGAUCAAGAAAGCAUGCUCGAUAGCCAUGAAGGCACACGAGUUGCCGGAGAAGCAGCUGUAUCUCGUUGAAAAGAAUCGGGGCUCAUCAGAUGUCAUUUUCGGCUUUCCAGGUUCUUGGUUUAUCAGUGAUUGGUUUAGUCGAAGCCCCUUUGGCGAAAAAAAGAUCGAUCCACAUCCACCUCAGUUCGCUUCUCUUCGAAGUAUAGGCAAUGAUCAAGUUGCAACUGUCAAUGAAGCUUUUCUUACUAGAUUUCAAGCAAUUCUGCCUCAGCUACAAAACGAGGUGUGUGAUCUCUUUAUUAAUUAAGUUUUUUUAAUUUUAGUUUUUUGGCCCCUGAAAAAUCAAAAUGCAACAUGUACUGCUAGUUAGUAAGUAUUGGUGUUGCUUCCUCUUUGGCAAUCAUCAAGACUCCAAAAUAGCUGAUCGUUAUAAUAAAUAAACUAUACAAUUGAAUUCGAAUGAAACAAUAGAAAUGAAGCAAACUAAUGACAAACUGGAAUACAAAUAUUUAUAUAAAAAUACUGGGUAGUUACUUCGAAUCAUUCUCAGGUGGGGAAAGCUGUGGCAGAGAGAAAGCAAAUAGUGUUUACAGGGCAUUCCUCAGCUGGUCCAAUUGCCGUUUUAAUGACAGUUUGGUUCCUGGAAAAUUUGGAAAAAUUCAUAAAGUCAGACCCCAGCACCAGCCGAAUGCCACCUAUAUGCGUCACUUUUGGAUCACCUCUUGUUGGUGAUUUCAUAUUUAACCACGCUUUGAGGCGAGAAAGUUGGUCUCUCUACUUCAUUCAUUUCGUAAUGAGGUAUGACAUCGUCCCUCGGGUUUUGCUAGCUCCUCUCUCUUCCCUUGAGCCAGAACUGAAAAUUAUCCUCCAUUUCUUGAACCCAAAACAUACAACUCCCAUGCCAGAACCAACUGAAGAAGCUUCAGCUCUCUAUGUGACGGUGAUGAGGAAUGCAUCAUCUGUGGGAAGCCAUGCGGCCUGUCAUCUCAUGGGAAACACAAACAAGUUGUCUGAUACUUUGUUGAGUUUCAUUGAGCUGAGCCCCUAUCGACCCUUUGGAACUUAUGUCUUCUGCACAGGAGAUAGGGAACUGGUAGUAGUGAAAAACCCUGAUACCGUUCUGCAGAUAUUGUUCUAUUCUUCUCAGUUGAGCUCUGAAGUAGAAGGUCCAGAGAUUGCUCUCAGAAGCGUAAAGGACCACCUUAAUUACCAAAGCGAACUGCAGAACUUAGAGACAAAAGGUGUCGCUCAUUUAGACAAUUUGCAAGGGCUUCCAUUGUCUUCCAAUGUUGGUGCCGCUGGCCUUGGCCUGGUCCUGAAUAACCUUGGCCUGGUAAGUCCGUUUCAAGAUAGUUUCAAAAUUAGUCUUUCAGUUUUAAAAGUUCCCCUAUCAGUUUUUUUUUUUUUUGCCCCCUUGGACUGACAUUUUGAAUCUUCGGUUUCCAGACCACCAGAGCCAGACUCUGCCUUUGUGCUGCUGGAGAAUUAGAGGAGCAAAAAUGGAGAAACCAGGAAAAGAUUAAUAAAAAGAAGAUAGAUAUAGAGAGAGGACUACUAGCACUUGAAGGGUACAAAACCAGGUGCGAGGCUGGCAGAGUCAGCUAUUAUGAUGCAUUCAAGCUUUCAAAGGACACUGAUGAUUUCAAUGCAAAUGUUAAGAGGCUUGAGUUGGCUGGUAUUUUUGAUAAGAUUAAGGAAAUGUUGAAAAGGUAUGAACUUCCUGAUGAGUUUGAAGGCCAUAGAGAGUGGAUAGACAUCGGAACAAGGUACCGCCGCAUUGCUGAACCUCUAGAUAUUGCUAAUUACUAUCGACACCUAAAAAAUGAAGACACAGGUCCCUAUCUGAUAAAGGGCAGACCAAAACGAUACAGAUACACUCAGAGGUGGCUCGAAUAUGCCCUGAAGAUAUCGGCAGGAUCCAGCGGGGAAUCAUGUUUCUGGGCAGAGGUUGAGGAGCUCUGCCUCAGAACUAUUAAUAUGGGGCUGUUUGAAGAUGUCAAAGCACAUAUACUGUCCCUGGAGAAGCAGGUAGAUAAAUGGGUUCAGGAUAGGGAGUUAGGUGAUGAUAUAUUCUUUGAGGAUUCGACCUUCGUCAAGUGGUGGAAAACACUCCCUCAGCUACAUAGAUCAGGAUCAUGCAUUGCAAAAUUCAUCAAUAACUAAAAAAAUAAAUCUUAAAGCUAUCACCACUUGCUUCUAGAAGUGCAACUAUCAACCGUUGGUCCCUGCCCUGGCCGUGGAAGUUGUGUAAUUAGUUAACCUAAUAUCAUUAGUUUCUAUUUGUAACGUGUGCUUCAAUUAUAACUCAAGAGUGGAGACUCAUUUUGUAUUACGACCAAAUAAGUCAUUAGUGGAUUUUUGCCAAAUGUUAUUAACCAGUAGCAGCAUUAUUGUUGAAAUUAUACUGGCUGUCCGCUGGUAAUGCAUCCAUUUCGGGAUGCCACGCCGCUACUGUUUGUUCAAGAAUUCUGUCAUCCUGAUACAAAAACAAGGAAAGAAAAAUAAGGGCUCUCAAGAAGCAAGCCAUUCUCAACGUGCUAAGAUACAAUGUAUCGAAUAAAAUCAUCACUGUGCAGUUAUAGCGUAAGAACAACAUUAUUGGUGCAAAAUAUAAUAAGCUCAUAUCGAUCUUCAGAUAUAGAUUUAGACAACUUUUAGUGUUAAGCGAGUAAUAGCAAUAUAGCAUACUGCGCAUACAGAUACUUAUAUAGGUAGAGCAAAAAGAAAAAUUAUAUGGUGUUCACAUGUUGCGUGAUCUACAAGCUAUUGAAUCAGACUUUACGGGAAAAUCGUUGCGUAAUAUGUUUUCCCAAUUGUUAUAUUCUCUCUGGGGAACAUAUUGGGUGGGUUUAGAGCGUUAAUUGCUCCGUUUCCAUGUGAACAUGCAAAAAUUGCUAUUCUCCUAGAGCUGUUAAUUUGUUUUUUUUUUUUUCUUAGUAAUGAGGACUUUUUUAACGACGGCAUAUAUAGUAAACAAAGUCGUUAUAAAAUUAUUCCAUAAGAUCUUUAAGUUAGAUCUUUUCUUUCAACAAAGACUUUUAAAUUAGAUGCAUUUAAUUAUAUUUAUUAUUUAGAUGUACCAUUCCAAUUUGUUGUUUUCAACACUAGUCAUGAAAAAUGUAAAAUAUCAAUAUGUAAAUUUUAUAUGAACUAUACUCUUUAAAAAUAUCUCAUCAACUUAUAAUAAAUGAUUUCUAAAUUGAAUCACAAAGUUACUGUCCAUAAAUAGAUAGUUUUUAAUCGUUAGUUAUUUUUAUAUAAUGGUAGAUAAUAUAUGGUGAAUGAUAUAAUAUAAAAUAGUAAAAUAGCAUGAAAAUUGUUAAAUCACACACAAUGAAAAUUAAAUAAUUUUAAAAUUAUUAUUGAGAUUUGAGAAAAAUAAUUGAUUGUCAUUGUUUUUAUUAAUCAAUACAAAUAUUGAUUGCCAAUCAACAUAAAGAUGACUUUAGUUUUUGUUCAUCAAUCAUAUUCCCAGAUACCAUAUCAAUUGUAUCAUUUCCUUUUUUUAUUCAUUCAUUAAUUAUAGAUUUUUUAUUUUUGAAAGAAUCCAUUCAUUGUAGAUAUUGAGCAUUUGUGCUUAUUAAAAUGAAUUUCAUGAGUUUAUGUUCAUCGUCAAUUGUAAGAUAAAAGCAUUAUAUAUAUAUAUGAAGAUUAUUUUGUUCAACUUUUCACUAUACAUAUAAUUUAUAAAAAUCAACAGUAAUGCGUUACGAAAUUUAUAUCAAUCAAGCAAUGUAAUUAUAAUUUAGUGAAGCUUGAAUGAAUGAGGGAAUUAACGACUAAAAAAAAAAAGUAUAUGAUCAUCGAAGAGGGACAUAAUAAGUCUUACCUUUUAAAAUAUUGGUAUUUCAUUUAAAAUUUAGCAGGACUUAGGGGCUGUUUUUUUUUUAAUCACUUAAUUGACUUAAUUUCAAUUGGUUAAGUCAUUAAGUCCUUUUUUUUUCAACUUAACGAAAACUUUCAAUCUUUAAGUCAUUAAGUUAUUUAAAAAAAAAUUGAUAUUUAUUUUUAACAAUUCAGAAAAAAAAUAAACAUAUUAUUUAAAUUUAGACAUUCAGUUCUAUUAAAAAUUUAAACUCAUUCAAAUUUAUUUAAAUUUCAUAUGAAAAAACAAUCACCAUCUUAAUUUGAAUUUACUUAUGCAUACAACCAUUUGGGAUCUCAUUUUCGUUGAUCACACUUCGAGGAUGACUUUCACGUCCUUCGACAAAUUAUUUCUAAACCAAACAUUGAUUCUUGGGAAAUAUGACUAGAAUGGAUAGUGACAUGACUGGAGAGACUCCAAGGACCUUGACUUAAUAGAAACCAUUCAUUUCAAUUUUCUUCACGUCCUUGCAAAAAUCCUACAGUAAGACAGAGUGUUAGACCAGUCACCGACAAACCAUAUUCUGGUUUUGUUUGAAAUUAAAGUGAUAUAACUUUUAAACUAUAGUUGAUGUAAAAAAAAUUUAUAAUUAUGAAACAAAGGUUACUAAUAUAUCAUAAAUAUAAUUUUUAAAUAAUAAUUUUAAUAAAAUUAUUAAAAAUAUGAUAAAUUUUCAUUAUAUAAAUGAAAUAUUAUGUCAAUAUAACUUUUGUAAGAUAUAGCAUAUAGUGUUUAAUAAACAUUUUAAUGCUGCCCAACCUCAAUCUCAAGUAGGGCCUUGGUUUAAUUCAAAAUUACCUAGAAUGUUGAACAAAAACUAGACUUUAAUUAUUAGAAUACCCGCUGAUUUACGUUAGAUUUUAUUGAUUCAAUAAAAGCUCAAAACUCGUCUGAAACUAGAAUUUAAUAUUUUUCAACUCCAAUGCAAAAGCUCAAAACUCGCAUGGAGUUUGAAUAAGUGCUUUCAAACUAGUUAUUUAUUCAAUAUCCGUUUAAAAGAAGUGAUGCAGGGUGCUAGAGUGGAAAGAUUACAAGGAGUUAUUUCUUUUGAAGAGUGAUAAUUUUAAACGUUUUGUGAAAGAACAGAGAAUCGAAUUUGAGUUCGAUGUUGAUAUGAUUUUUGUAUUGAUCUUUUAAAAAAAUGUAAUACUAAUUAUUAGACGAAAAUAUCUAACUAAAUAAAUUUUAACCAUGAUAAAUGGCAUGGUAGAAAAUUAUAUAUCGAAAUCAUAAAUACAACUAAGAUCAGCUCGAUCUUAGACCUAAAUUCUCGAGAAUCUAUAAUUUCAUGUUGUCCACGAUAUCACAUAUUACUUUUGUGUCUGGAUUCUUAGAAAACGCAAUGAAGUGAAAGAGUUUUUUUUUUUUUAUUAAAUGAGACUAUUGCUCAGAUUACAACUCAUAUACAUGAGACUAUUACUGAUAUUUACAAAUCAGACUAUUACUGGGAUCAACUGACAUCAAUGCUAAUGGAGCUCUGCCCAGAUUUUAACCCUCACAAAUAUUCGAGGGAUGUCUACUCCUCACUCAUGGGUAAGGGAGAAGACUACCUUCACUUAAAUUAAUUGAGGAAGAAAAUACCCCCACAAUACUUUUGUGGGAGUUCGAACUGCUGUUCUCUAAACCCUUACAAAUAUUCAACGGAUGUAUACUCCUCACUCAUGAAGUGAAAGAGUUAUGUUGGUGAAAUAUGAGGAAUAUAAUUGUUUAUUUGUAAAGCCCAAGUUAGCCCAAUUCUCAUGACCAGGCCCAAUCCUUAUGUGAGUAAAGUUAACAACAUAUGUUUGAUUUUUGGGAGGCGCGUUGAUGUUUUCAUACCUGGUGGAUAAAUGAAGUGUGCGAUAAUGCAUGUGACCUGGAAACAUCUCGCCUUAUAAUUUCUUUUCCAAAUGGUGAAUUUAUAGUGAUACUAUAUUAAUUGAAUACAAAUUAUGUAUCUCAAAUUAAAAAAAAAAAUUAGUAGUUAUAAUAAAAAAUUGAGUUACAAAUUUAUAUCCUAAUAUUAUGUGACAACCGUAUAAAUUUAUACUCAUAAAUAAGAAAUAAUAAAAUUACAAAAUUACAAAAUUAACUAUCAUAUAACAUUGCCAGACUAUUAUAAUCCAAAUUUGUAAUGCCUAUCAUUAUUCUUUCGGUGAUCCUUAACUUUGAUGAUGAAUUGGGUUGGGGCCCUCGUUAAGAACAACUCAAACUAUGUCUUUACCUAUGAUUUAGAAAACAAUAAGGGUCUCAAUGCUAUUAUACCAUUAUUAUAUAACUCAUUUCAUCUUCAAGCUAAGGGGAACGUCGUCGUGUUAAAAACCUUCAAAAUUGAAAAGCUCUGUCUGAAGCUAGUGAACAGAACACCCGCUUUCUCUUCCCUCGUCCAAUAUUUUCCCUGAAAAUCGAAAGCUUUCCAUGAAACCAAACAAAACGUAACUGUUUCGACAAGCAUGGAAGAAUCAGAAUCGAAUCGUGUAGCAGAGGCAGUUAACGAGGCAAAAAUGAGCAGAAAGGAGAAGAAGAAGAUGGCGAAGAAGAAGAGGAGGAAAGACAAGAGGAAAGAAAUGGCGGCGAAGGAGAGAGAAGAAGAGGAAGCGAGGUCGAAGGAUCCGGAGGAGCGGAGGAAGUUCGAGAUGAUGAUUAAAGAAGAGGAGGAAAAGAGAGAGAGAGCGUUGAAGGAGUUUGAGGAGAGAGAGAGGCUUUGGAUUCAAGAGAUGGAGUUGAAGAAGAAGAAAGUAGAAGAAAAAGAAGAGGAGAGAAGGAAAGUUAUGGAAGAUAGAGAAAAAGAAGAGGCAGCCAUGAAACAAUUACUGGUUUGUUUUAUUUUGUUUAUUAAAAAGAAUUUUGCAGUUUUUUUUUGGGUGGGUGUGUGUGUUUGGUUGCUGGGAAAUUUUGAGGAAAUAGGAAAUUUAAUAGAAUUUGUGGCCACUAGAAUUGAUUUUUACGGACUUAUUUUUGUUGUAAAAAUGGCAAUUAAGUAUUUUUGUGAGACUUGUUACUGUUGUGAAUUUUUGUUAGGCUCUUUGAAAAUGUUGGAAUGGGAGAGAAUGCAAUUCUAGGUUUAAUUAUCGAUGGGUAUUCAAUAUCUUGCAGGUUGAAAAGGAGAAUGAAUGUGAUGAGGAUGAUGAUUGGGAAUAUGUUGAAGAAGGGCCUGCAGAAAUUAUAUGGCAAGGAAAUGAGAUUAUUAUCAGGAAGAAAAAGGUCAGAGUUCCGAAGAAGGAUGCGAACCCACUAAGUAAAAAAGAGGUAAUUUUGACUCUAUUGACAGCUAUGCUAGGCUUGUUUCUACUUUACUUCAGGAUGCCCAUUCUCUUCGGUUAUGGCAAAAAUUAAACUUUCUACGUUAUUACUUCCUUUACAGGAUGUUGAUAGGCCUACAUCAAAUCCUUUUCCCCCACAAUCAGAAGCCUUCGCUGAUCACCAGAAUGCACAACAGGCGUUGGAGACUGUUGCUCAACAAGUGCCCAAUUUUGGAACUGAACAGGCAUGCCUUUUCUUUCAAUCUGUCUAUCUGAAAUUUUCAAUUUGCAAUUACUGUAUUAUAUUUCAUUUCUAUUAUAUUUGCCUGUUUAUCAUGGUCAAUCAUGUUUUUAUUAUAUAUGGCAGGAUAAAGCUCAUUGUCCUUUCCAUUUGAAGACUGGAGCUUGUCGGUUUGGUCAGAGAUGCAGCAGAGUUCAUUUUUACCCUGAUAAAUCAUGCACUCUGCUCAUCAAGAAUAUGUAUAAUGGUCCUGGCCUUGCUUGGGAGCAAGAUGAGGGGCUCGAGGUCUGUAAUUGCUGAUUCUUGUAUCCUGAUAAGGACUCUUCCAAACUUCUAUACUUUUGUGCAAUUUGUUGGAUCAUUUUAUAUACGCAUUGUCCUUGCUAUAUAGAAGAUGCUUUUUAUACAGAAAAAUAUUUUUCCAGUUGAUAUACUGUAAUGUGUUUAUAACUAUUCUAGAUAGUAAACCUGGUGAGUUCUUUUGAGUUCACAUUUUAUUUCUUUUCUUUGACUAUGUGAAAUCAGAGAUUUAUGUUUUCAUAACGAUGGAGAUUCAUGGUGUUGGCCUUGAUUGGGUAAGAGUGAAGGCUAUGAGCUAUUCUGUAUCCUACAUGCUGCAAAUGAUUUUAGCUAUUAUGAAAUUUCUUGUUUAUAUGUUUGGCUUAUUUCUCUUUAUUUCUUUCGUUCUUUCUUUCUUUCUUUCUUUCUUUCUCUCUCUCACUAGUCACAUAACUGUACAACUCUGUUUGAGUUAAAAAUUUCUCCUUAACAACUAGUAGUUUCUUGUGGAAUAUACUAUAUAUCGUCGAUUGUCAGAGCUGGUCAUCUAACAAUGGUCAUUACUUUGGAAGGUUUGGGAUUGUUUGCCACAACACCUAUUUACUGACACAUGCUGUUGGUGCUCUUCAUUUACUUUAGAAUGUGUCGGGGGAGACAGAAAGCUGGAGAAAAAGAAGUUGCUUUGAUUGAUGCAAAUUAAAUUAGUUGAACACAUGAUAGGUUUCAUUUCAGUCUAUUAUACAGAUGAGAAAAUAUUAGCCAUUAGGUGAGGAUUAAAUUUCAGGUUAUAUAUAUCUUGUCCCCUAGUUGUGUAUUUUGAAUAGUGUUAACCAUGUAAAUGGAGAUCAUGGUUUAUAGUUGUCUCCGUGUUAAUCCACUACCCUUUGACCAUUAUCUGGAAGAACAAAAUGCAAAUUGAGAAACUAAUCAAAUUGAUAACUAUCAUAGUGAAGUUUCAAGUUAUAUGCUAGAGAAUUUUUAUAAGUUGUUUCACCUCCUGAUAAAUAUCAUUUUGUUUUUCCAAUGUCAAAAUAAAGCAUUCUUGACAGACUAUACUUUCAUACUUUUCUUUUGAUUUUAUGCUUCUGAUGUUAACAUACGCAAAAUUUUUUUUUGGUUGAUUUGCCUUCUUUCUUUUCA
This 55344-nucleotide long non-coding RNA is filed under the name Citrus x clementina. RNAcentral's name for it is "Citrus clementina (C. clementina) long non-coding RNA (CCLE_LNC002260)". Lineage: Eukaryota; Viridiplantae; Streptophyta; Magnoliopsida; Sapindales; Rutaceae. The record is from RNAcentral.